Molecule: long non-coding RNA, 76362 nt
Filed under: Zea mays
Lineage: Eukaryota; Viridiplantae; Streptophyta; Magnoliopsida; Poales; Poaceae
Description: long non-coding RNA (ZMAY_LNC004084)
Source: RNAcentral
UAACUCAAGAGAGAGUCCACCCUAGAACAACUUAAAUCGUGCAAGGCACAACUCCUGCUCAAGUCCAAGACUCAUGAUCCUUUCUACUCAAUCAGAUCAUCAUCGUCAUCAGGAAGAGGUUGUGCAGCUGCUGCAGCAAGCUCAGCUUCAUGCCUGAGUAAAUGAAAAGUGAAUCAGUUCUCGCAACAUUUCAAAUUGAGGAGACAGAUUAAAAGGAUAGUAGGACCAUAAUGAUUAUAAGUUGGAUAAGACAAAAGGUGACACUCACUGCUGCUGCAUAGCCAUGUCGAUGGUAACUUCCGGAGGCUUAAGAGCAACAGCUUCAACAAAGUGAAGGUUCGGAUCACUGUUAAAAACAAUGACAUUGUCAAGAACAAACAUAAGAGUGGUGGUAAUUGGUUGUGACUACUAAAUGCAAUGCACAGAAGUAGGGUAGUCAAUUACCCAGCCAGCUUCCUUGCAAGGUACAGGAAAGGUUUCUCAAAGUUGUAGUUGCUCUUGGCAGAAAUUUCAUAGUACUGCAGAUUCUUCUUCCUGUGGAAAGUAACCUGCUUGGCUUUGACCUGCCUGUUCUUCACAUCAACCUUAUUACCGCAGAGGACAAUGGGGAUGUUUUCACAGACCCUGCAUGAAUUCAUAACUGGACAUCAAAAUUUUCCAACAAAAUUAUACAUCAGUACAAGUUUACGACAAAGAAAGACAUCAACAUACCUGCACAGGUCCCUAUGCCACGUAGGAACAUUCUUGUAAGUAAGCCUUGAGGUUACAUCAAACAUGAUGAUCGCACACUGGCCAUGGAUACUGAAUGGGAACAAAAAACAGAAAGAGCAUCAGAGAAUGUAACAAAAAUAGUUAAGUACUAAAAGUAUACAUUGAUUUUACAGCAUAUGUACACACAUUAUUUCAGACAUCACAAAUAAUACUUACUAGUAUCCAUCCCUGAGGCCACCAAACUUCUCUUGCCCUGCGGUAUCCCAGCAGUAGAACCUGAUCUUACCACAGUUAGUGGUGAAAUCCAACGGAUGAACUUCCACACCAAUGGUUGCUGAAACAACAAAAUGCAUUAGAGAAGCUGGAAGUAUUAAUGAUGAUAACUAAAUGAAGAAAAUCCCAAUCAAUGUGGUACUUACGUUCAUAUUUCUUCUCAAACUCUCCAGUGAGAUGCCUCUUCACAAAUGUAGUUUUACCUGCAACAAGAAAACAUCAGUGAGAAAAGUCAUACAGGUCAACAGAUGAGAAUAUAAUAGGACAGGUGUGAUGUAGAGAAUAUAAAUAUUAUUGAAUCUAAAGCCUACAAGGGCGCCAUAACAACUGAAAUUCAAACCAUCUAGCUUAUGAAGGUUGCAGAUAAAUGUAACUGACAUCCUAACAGACAAAAGAGUAUUCAACAAACAACCAUGUUAUUUCCAUUCAAGAGCCGUGCGACGACAGAAUUUCUAUGCUAUAAGGAUUCAAAAUAUUUGAAACACGAAAUGAAGAACCUCCGCCUCAAGUUUAGUUUCAUUGCAUCACAUCUGAGGCCUUACAUUGAAUAGCAAACGGAUUUGAUACAACACAGAAUAUGAUAAUAAAAGCGAAAUACAAAUACAAGUUCUUACAAUUUUUUUGAAGUGUUAAUACGACAUUAGGUAGAGGGUAAGGAGACUCUAUGAUCCUAAGGUACAAUAUAUUUCUAUAGAUUACUAUAUGUGAAUAUGAAUUCUAUUGAGUGGAAACAACUACGGCAUAAACGUGAUUAGGAAUCAGUACUAGUGGAACUGUGUAAUAUUCCAGUCACGUCACGGAGGUCGUGAGGACACUAUGGGAGACAGCCACUAUAAUUCUAAGAGGCAUAAUAUCAACAGAUUGCACACAGCGCCCAAGUCCAAUCUGCCAGAUCUCGUAGAAACAUCGGCAGCUUCUACCAUUUCUAACAACCAAUGGAGACACGGAGCCAUUCGGAAACUCACCAGUUCCACCAUCGCCGACGAUGACGAGCUUGAAGCUGGGGUAAUCAACGGUCCCCUGAUUCGGCAGCGCCUGCAAAAAAAAACAUAUCGGGUCAGAAACACGCAGCCGCAGAUCCGGGGAUCAAACACGGCGGAGAUCGGAUCCGUGCGGGGGCGGGGCGCUCACCAUCUCGGUCACACGCGAGGGGGGCCGCGCCUGAUGCUGCGGCCUUCGGAGCUCGGGGUCGGAGAGCAGCAAAACCCUAGAAUUCGAAACGGAGUUUGGCGAGCCGCCGGUGGAGGCGGAGGGUUUUAUAGCAGCGGUGGCCUGCUGGUUGUUCUUUACUCGCGACUGCGGGGCUUGAUAGCUUUGAAUGGACGCAGGAGUUGUGGCCGACGGAUGGUAGCCGGCUAGCUUUCGUCCCACGCGAGAUUUCUGACCGUCCGAUCCGAACGGUGAUGUGGAUGGGGUGUGGGCCGCGUGGGCUAUAUCUUGUGUUCGCUAAUGGCCAACUCAUCCUCCGUUUUCUUUCGCAAUCGGUCCAAAGUAUAUUAAGUAAUAUUCUAUGUAACGAGGUAAUUACAGUGUCAUUCAUACAGACCCACGCGUUCCGCUGACAGGUGGGUCUGAGUGCGCCCUAUGAAGAACCGUGUCGAACAGUACGAAGUAUAACUGUUGUCAGUGUCCUCAAAUGUCUUCAUGCUAACUUUCCCUCAAUCGACGGCUGGUUGUGCGGUAGUGAAGGAGUCGCCUCCAGAGCACAGGGAAGUCCCCAAUUCCCCUUCGACCAACUGGGCCAAACGGAGGUUGAGCGAGGGCUCCACAUCGCAUGGGUGACGAGGACUUCACUCCCCGGGUGUGGCGAAGUCGUGGUCAUCUGGCUGCCGUCCGGCGCAACCCCUCAAUGUCGGGCCCGUUCCAUCGGAGGUCUCUUUGGUCGGAAUCCAUGCACCAAGGAACCUGCGAAGGCAAUUGAUGGCGAAGUAGGGUCUUUGUUAGUUUAGAACGAGGGUGAGUUUAGUCUCCGCCUAACAUGGUCUUCGCUCUACGAUGAGGUUGUACUCGGUCUCCUCCCCAACAAUAGGAAUUACCGAACAAGGCCUUACUGAGUUAGUGAUUUGAUAAACAAUUACAAACUACAAAGGGGUUCACUGACUAUGUGUUGCUUGCUUAGACAAAUACACGCAGGGCGACCCUAGCUUGCACAUCGAUAUUGGGUCUAGCCCCAUCUCUACGCAUGCAACCAACGUCCUCUAAAAUACCUUGCACUCACGGCUGCAAUCCUUAGCCCAUCACGAAGGAAACCAAAUAGGUACAAUUAUUCGGUCAACACACACCGCUGGACUCGACGCAUAUACCUAGGUAACAAAACACGUGCAAUGAGUAACGCUCAAUUAUUCAAUAGACAAAAAACAUGUGUCCAAGUCCAGGAGUCUCCAUUAAACUUGGAUUUCGUAACUGAGGAAAAGCCCAUCGAUAUGGCACAUUCAUCCGUAUUUGGUUGCCAUAGACAUCAACACUUGCGACUGGAUUGAGUUCACUCUUUUCUACCACGGCACAGCUACGUGUAUGGCCAAUUCCUCAAUGGGAGAUGGUAGGGAGCCCGGCAUCACAAACCAUGUCUUAUCUCUCACCCCACCCCACCACCCUCCCAAAAAAACCUAUAUAUGUGAAAAAAUAGGGUUUUCCAAGUUUAUGAAGCAUAUCAUAAAAACAUCACCCUGCUUGCUUGGCUUUAAUUUAUACUGGUUUCUACUGCUUCUACAAUGUUUUUAUCUCUUUAUAUUGCAGUUGAAGCUGUCCAAACAACUAGAUUUAAUCUGAAGCGAACAAAAUAUAAAAUGCUUUCCACACAAUCAAUGAAUGAUACUAGCUAUUUCAUAUCACAAGAUGUUAGUAUUUUUUUCAUAGAUUUAAUCAAUUUUAAAAUUAUUUAAAUUCUUAAGCUUAAAAGUGUAAAAUGUAUUCCUUUAUAACGGAUGGACUAGUAGAGCAGUACGUAGAGAUGAUAAUGAGCUCUAAAUUUUUAAGUAUAAGAUUAGAUUAGGAUCGAACACUAUUUUUAUUCAUUUUUAAAUUAAAAUCAAUUAAGGGAUCAAAAUAAAUUGUCAAGAAACAUUUGGAUCGAUGGUCCAUUACUUCUCUCAAACGAAGAGUGUUGAUCUCACACGAUCAGAUCAAUAAACAGAUCUAGGCACCCCAAGGGAGCGUGGAACUGUUACCCCACAUAACAAAUAAGUGCUGAAAUGGUAUUCAUUGUUCCGGCCUAGAAUUCAUAAUCGUAGGAACUCCAAUCACUAGGAUAAAAUGAGACGAGUCCAUUCGUUUUUAAACUGUUCAGGAACCACCGAACCGAUAAGAAUCGGUGCAAAAACGAUUUAGGUAGUUUUCGAUCGUUUUCGUAACUUUAGUUUCCGAGUCGUGAUGAUACUUUGAUUAUCGUUUUUAUAUAAUAUGAGAUACAUCUAACCUAUACUUUAUGCAAGUUACAGUUUUUUUUGUUGGGUUGAAGUGAAUGAAUAAGAGAAACAAAAGUUGUUAUUACUCUAAAUACUACGAAUAAUAAAAAAAGUUGUUUGUAUAUUUUAAUAUAUUAAAAAUUAGGCAAUAUGUCACUUUAUUAUAUAUUUAUGGAAACUACGAAAUAUGUGUUUUCCCGACUAAAGUUUACGUUUUCGGUCAUUUUCGAUUAAACAACAAUUCCAAUCUUGUAUUUUCUCGACUUCAUCUUAAAUCAAAAUAUCAAAAUUUCUAGAUAGACAAGUUUUCUAGAGUACUACGACGCAACUAGCUCACAUGUAUAUAUCAACCUAUAGUACCAACGGUGAAUCCAACGGGUAUGCCAGGUAUGCACUGGCAUACCCUGCAAAACAAGUAUAAUGUAUAUAGUAUAUAUGGUAUAUAUAUAUGUACAUAAUAUAGUAUUUCAUUUGAACAAUUUAUAUCAAAAAAUGUUGUCGUAUUGUAUAUGGUUUUAUCAAAUUCGAAUAUCAUUUUACCGAAUCAUAAAAUUGUUUACCGAAUUGCAUAAGGCAUUUUUGUAUCGCAUACCCUAUGGUUAAAUCCUAGGCCCGCCAUUGUACAGUAAUGAUCUCCAAAAAAACAUCUAUACAAUUGAGAGGCAUAACUCGACACCAGACACACGAUGAUACGAACUAUAUCUACUACUACUCUUUAAGGUUGUAAGUGAAAGGGAAAUGUGCCCUUGGGCCAUUUCUAUGUAUUUUGGUGAUUGAGUGCCAACACAUGUGCUUAAUUGGGAAUUUAUGUACAUGGAUGAACAAGGUGAAAAUCAUGAAGUAAAGGUAUGUUUCUAAGCCUUAGUACAUUGGUUUUAAGUACUAAUAUAUUUGUCUAAGUGUUAGAAACAGAAAGAAGAAGAAUAGAGAAAAGGAGAAGGGACUUGGCUGUGUGCUGCCAAGACCCAGCUCGGUCUGGAGCACCGGACUGUCCGGUGUGCACCGGACAGUGUCCGGUGCGCCAGGCUGGCGCGACUCGAACUGGCCGCUCUCGGGAAAUUGGCCGGCGGCGUACGGCUAAAAUUCACCGGACUGUCCGGUGUGCACCGGACUGUCCGGUGAGCCAACGGUCGGCCAGGGCCAACGGUCGGCCGCGCAAUCCGCGCGGGACACGUGGCCGAGCCAACGGUCGGAAGACGGCACCGGACUGUCCGGUGUGCACCGGACAUGUCCGGUGCGCCAACAGUGCCAGAUCUGCCAACGGUCUGCAACGGUCGUCUUCGCCGUUUAAGGAAACAAAUCGGGCACCGGACAGUGUCUGGUGUGCACCGGACUGUCCGGUGCCCCCGACGACAGAAGGCAAGGAUGGCCUUCCGGAUUUGCUCUCAACGGCUCCUAGCUGCCUUGGGGCUAUAAAAGGAGCCCCUAGGCGCAUGGAGGAGACACACAAGCAACCUUUGAGCAUUCUUGAUCAUCCACACUAAGUCUCUGCGCAUUCGUUUGUGUUUCUAAGUGAUUCGAGCUCUGUUCUAAGUGAGAACUCUGAGAUAGUCUUGUGAGCUCGAUUCUUGGCCGUGUGUGUGCGCUUUUGCUGUGGAUUUGUGUGUGUUGCUUCCCUCCCUUACUCUGUGUUUCAUUUGUGAUCAUAUACUUGUAAGGGCAAGAGACUCCAAUUUGUGGAGAUUCCUUGCAAACGGGAUAGUGAAAGGAAAACAAAACACCGUGGUAUUCAAGUGGGUCUUUGGACCGCUUGAGAGGGGUUGAUUGCAACCCUCGUCCGUUGGGACGCCACAACGUGGAGUAGGCAAGCGUUGGUCUUGGCCGAACCACGGGAUAAAACCACUGUGUCACUCUGUGCUUGAUUCUCUUGUGGUACUAUGUUUUGUUGAGAUUGUUGAGACUUCACCUUAGCCACUUGGCAAUAAUCGUGCUAACACUUAACAAGUUUUUGUGGCUUAAGUUUGAAGUUUUUACAGGAUCACCUAUUCACCCCCCCCCUCUAGGUGCUCUCAAUUGGUAUCAGAGCCGUUCUCUUCAAGAAAGGGACUAACCGCCCGAAGAGAUGGAUCCUAAGGGGAAGGGAAUUGUGAUCAACGACAAGGAGAAGGAGUCCUUCGUCAACGAGCCAAGGGAUGACAAGUCCAAUGACUCGGGCUCGGGCCACAAGCGAAGAGAUGGGAAGAAGAAGAAGACAAGACGCAUCAAGGAGAUCGUCUACUACGACAGCGAUGAGUCUACUUCUUCCCAAAAGGACGAGGACCACAACAACUACGAGAGAAGAAAACCGGUUAAUUCGAACUUUUCUUUUGAUUACUCUCGUAUUCCGCAAAGUUCACAUUCUCAUUUGCUCUCCAUUCCACUCGGCAAGCCCCCACACUUUGAUGGAGAGGACUACGGAUUUUGGAGCCACAAAAUGCGUAGUCACCUAUUCUCUCUCCAUCCUAGUAUAUGGGAGAUUGUAGAGAGUGGAAUGCAUUUUGAUAGUUCGGAUAGUCCCAUGUUCAUUAAUGAACAAAUUCAUAAGAAUGCACAAGCUACUACUGUUCUUCUAGCUUCCUUGUGCAGGAAUGAAUACCAUAAGGUGAGCGGCUUGGAUAACGCCAAGCAAAUCUGGGACACCCUCAAGAUUUCUCAUGAGGGGAACGACGUCACCUUACUCACCAAGAUGGAGUUGGUGGAGGGCGAGCUUGGACGGUUCGCAAUGAUAAGGGGCGAGGAGCCAACGCAAACAUACAAUCGGCUCAAGACCCUUAUCAACAAGAUAAGAAGCUACGGGAGCACGCGAUGGACGGACCACGACGUCGUCCGCCUAAUGCUAAGGUCAUUUACCGUUCUUGAUCCUCACUUGGUGAACAAUAUACGUGAAAAUCCCAGGUACACCAAGAUGUCACCCGAAGAAGUUCUUGGGAAAUUUGUUAGCGGGCAAAUGAUGAUCAAGGAGGCGAGAUAUGUGGACGACGCCUUGAAUGGUCCGAUCAACGAGCCGCAACCUCUCGCUCUCAAGGCAACACGAAGCAAGGAGGCGCUACCUAGCAAGGUGGCACAAAUUGAGGCGGCCGGACUCAACGAUGAAGAGAUGGCUCUCAUCAUCAAGAGAUUCAAGACGGCGCUAAAUGGUCGCAAGGGGCAGCCAAGCAAGACCAAGACCAAGGGGAAGCGCUCAUGCUUCAAAUGCGGUAAGCUUGGUCAUUUUAUCGCUAACUGUCCCGAUAAUGAAAGUGACCAGGAAAAGGGGAACAAAAGAGAAAAGAAGAAGCAAUACAAGAAGGCAAAGGGCGAGGCGCAUCUAGGAAAGGAGUGGGACUCGGAUUGCUCCUCCUCCGACUCCGACAACGAAGGACUCGCCGCCACUGCCUUCAAAUCGGCUCUCUUCCCCAACGAGCGUCUCACAUGUCUUAUGGCAAGGGAGAAGAAGGUGAGUACUCAAGACUCCACUUAUGCUUCUUCUAGUGAUAGUGAGUCUAGUGAUAAUGACAUAGAUUAUUCAUACUUGUUCAAGGGCUUAGAUAGAUCUAAGAUAGAUAAAAUCAAUGAAUUGAUUGAUGCAUUGAAUGAAAAGGAUAGGCUUUUAGAAAAGCAGGAGGAUUUAUUGUAUGAUGAACAUGAUAAAUUUGUAGAGGCACAAAAAUCAUAUGCUUUAGAAGUAAAAAGAAAUGAAAUGCUUUCUUAUGAACUAUCUACUUGUCAUGAAACCAUUUCUACUUUACAAGGUGUUAACAAUGAUUUAAAUGCUAAGUUAGAAGUAGCAAAUAAAUCUAAUUCUUGUGUAGAACAUGUUAAGAUUUGCACUAGGUGUAAGGAUUUCGAUGUUGAUGCCUGUAGUGAACAUCUAGUUUUAAUUUCCAAAUUAAAUAAGGAAGUGGCUAGUCUUAAUGCCCAACUUAAGACUAGCAAGAAUGAAGUUGAUAAAAUAAAAUUUGCAAGGGAUGCCUAUACGGUUGGUAGACACCCCUCAAUUAAGGAUGGUCUUGGCUUCAAGAGAGAGGCCAAGAACUUAACAAGCCAUAAGGCUCCCAUCUUCGUCAAGGAGAAAGGGAAGGCCCCUAUGGCUAGUAAUGCUAAAAAGAACCAUGCUUUUAUGUAUUAUGAUAGGAGAAAUGCUAGAAAUGCUUAUAAUGAUUUUGAUUCACAUGUUUAUGAUUCUCAUGCCAUGUUUGCCUCUAGUUCUUCUUAUAAGCAUGAUAGGGAUAUGCCUAGGAGAAAUAUUGCUCAUGUGCCUAGAAAGAAUGUUAUUCAUGCUCCUAGGAAAGUAGUGAAUGAACCUUCUAUAAUUUAUUGUGCUUUAAACACUUCCUUUGCUAUUUGUAGAAAGGAUAGGAAAAUAGUUGCUAGGAAGUUAGGGGCAAAAUGCAAGGGAGACAGGACUUGCAUUUGGGUCCCUAAGGAUAUUUGCACUAACCUUGUAGGACCCAACAUGAGUUGGGUACCUAAGACCCAAGCCUAAAUUUGCCUUGCAGGUUUAUGCAUCCGGGGGUUCAAGCUGGAUUAUUGAUAGCGGAUGCACAAACCAUAUAACGGGGGAGAAGAAGAUGUUCACCUCCUACGUCAAGAAUAAGGAUUCCCAAGAUUCAAUCAUAUUCGGUGAUGGGAAUCAAGGCAAGGUAAAAGGGCUAGGUAAAAUUGCAAUUUCUAAUGAGCAUUCUAUAUCAAAUGUAUUCUUAGUGGAGAGUCUUGGAUAUAAUUUGCUAUCUGUCAGUCAAUUAUGUCAAAUGGGAUAUAAUUGUUUAUUUACAAAUGUAGAUGUGUCUGUCUUUAGAAGAAGUGAUGGUUCACUAGCUUUUAAGGGUGUAUUAGACGGCAAACUUUAUUUAGUUGAUUUUGCAAAAGAAGAGGCCAGUCUAGAUGCAUGCUUAAUGGCUAAGACUUGCAUGGGCUGGCUGUGGCAUCGCCGCUUAGCACAUGUGGGGAUGAAGAACCUCCACAAGCUUCUAAAGGGAGAACAUGUGAUAGGUCUAACCAAUGUUCAUUUCGAAAAAGAUAGACCUUGUGCAGCUUGUCAAGCAGGGAAACAGGUGGGAGGAGCGCAUCACAGCAAGAAUGUGAUGACCACUUCAAGACCCCUGGAGCUGCUGCAUAUGGAUCUCUUCGGACCCGUCGCCUAUCUAAGCAUAGGGGGAAGUAAGUAUGGUCUAGUUAUUGUUGAUGACUUUUCCCGCUUCACUUGGGUGUUCUUUUUGCAGGAUAAGUCUGAAACCCAAGGGACCCUCAAGCGCUUCCUCAGGAGGGCUCAAAAUGAGUUUGAGCUCAAAGUGAAAAAGAUAAGGAGCGACAACGGGUCCGAGUUCAAGAACCUUCAAGUGGAGGAGUUCCUUGAAGAAGAAGGGAUCAAGCACGAGUUCUCCGCUCCCUACACACCACAGCAAAAUGGUGUGGUAGAGAGGAAGAACAGGACGCUCAUCGACAUGGCGAGGACGAUGCUAGGAGAGUUCAAGACCCCCGAGUGCUUUUGGACGGAAGCCGUGAACACGGCUUGCCACGCCAUCAACAGGGUCUACCUUCAUCGCCUCCUCAAGAAGACGUCAUAUGAGCUACUAACCGGUAACAAACCCAAUGUAUCGUACUUUCGUGUAUUUGGGAGUAAAUGCUACAUUCUAGUAAAGAAGGGUAGAAAUUCUAAGUUUGCUCCCAAAGCUGUAGAAGGGUUUUUGUUAGGUUAUGACUCAAAUACAAAGGCGUAUAGAGUCUUCAACAAAUCAUCGGGUUUGGUUGAAGUCUCUAGCGACGUUGUAUUUGAUGAGACUAAUGGCUCUCCAAGAGAGCAAGUUGUUGAUCUUGAUGAUGUAGAUGAAGAAGAUGUUCCGACAGCCGCUAUACGAACCAUGGCGAUUGGUGAUGUGCGACCACAGGAACAAGAAGAGCAAGAUCAACCCUAUUCCUCAACUAUGGUGAAUCCCCCAACUCAAGACGAUGAACAUGUUCAUCAACAGGAGGCGUGUGAUCAAGGGGGAGCACAAGAUGAUCAUGUGAUGGAGGAAGAAGCGCAACCGGCACCUCCAACCCAAGUUCGAGCGAUGAUUCAAAGGGAUCAUCCCGUCGACCAAAUUCUGGGUGACAUUAGCAAGGGAGUAACUACUCGAUCUCGAUUAGUUAAUUUUUGUGAGCAUUACUCCUUUGUCUCUUCUAUUGAGCCUUUCAGGGUAGAAGAGGCCUUGCUAGAUCCGGACUGGGUGUUGGCCAUGCAAGAGGAGUUAAACAACUUCAAGCGCAAUGAAGUUUGGACACUGGUGCCUCGUCCGAAGCAAAAUGUUGUGGGAACCAAGUGGGUGUUCCGCAACAAACAGGACGAGCACGGGGUGGUGACGAGGAACAAGGCUCGACUUGUGGCAAAAGGUUAUGCCCAAGUCGCAGGUUUGGAUUUCGAGGAGACUUUUGCUCCUGUGGCUAGGCUAGAAUCAAUUCGUAUCUUGCUAGCAUAUGCCGCUCACCAUUCUUUCAGGUUGUUUCAAAUGGAUGUGAAGAGCGCCUUCCUCAACGGGCCAAUCAAGGAGGAGGUGUACGUGGAGCAACCCCCUGGCUUCGAGGAUGAACGGUACCCCGACCAUGUGUGUAAGCUCUCUAAGGCGCUCUAUGGACUUAAGCAAGCCCCAAGAGCAUGGUAUGAAUGCCUUAGAGAUUUCUUAAUUGCUAAUGCUUUCAAGGUUGGGAAAGCCGAUCCAACUCUUUUUACUAAGACUUGUAAUGGUGAUUUGUUUGUGUGCCAAAUUUAUGUCGAUGACAUAAUAUUUGGUUCUACUAACCAAAAGUCUUGUGAAGAGUUUAGCAGGGUGAUGACGCAGAAAUUCGAGAUGUCGAUGAUGGGCGAGUUGAACUACUUCCUUGGGUUCCAAGUGAAGCAACUCAAGGACGGCACCUUCAUCUCCCAAACGAAGUACACACAAGAUCUACUAAAGCGGUUUGGGAUGAAGGACGCCAAGCCCGCAAAGACUCCGAUGGGGACCGACGGACACACCGACCUCAACAAAGGAGGUAAGUCUGUUGAUCAAAAAGCAUACCGGUCAAUGAUAGGUUCUUUGCUUUACUUAUGUGCUAGUAGACCGGAUAUUAUGCUUAGCGUAUGCAUGUGUGCUAGAUUUCAAUCCGAUCCUAAGGAGUGUCACUUAGUGGCGGUGAAGCGAAUUCUUAGAUAUUUGGUUGCUACGCCUUGCUUCGGGCUCUGGUAUCCAAAGGGGUCUACCUUUGACUUAGUUGGAUACUCAGACUCCGACUAUGCUGGAUGUAAGGUCGAUAGGAAGAGUACAUCGGGGACGUGCCAAUUCUUAGGAAGGUCCCUGGUGUCAUGGAACUCUAAGAAACAAACUUCCGUUGCCCUAUCCACCGCUGAGGCCGAGUAUGUUGCCGCAGGACAGUGUUGCGCACAACUACUUUGGAUGAGGCAAACCCUCAGGGACUUUGGCUACAAUCUGAGCAAAGUCCCACUCCUAUGUGACAAUGAGAGUGCUAUCCGCAUGGCGGAGAAUCCUGUUGAACACAGCCGCACAAAGCACAUAGACAUCCGGCAUCACUUUUUGAGAGACCACCAGCAAAAGGGAGAUAUCGAAGUGUUUCAUGUUAGCACCGAGAACCAGCUAGCCGAUAUCUUUACCAAGCCUCUAGAUGAGAAGACCUUUUGCAGGCUGCGUAGUGAGCUAAAUGUCUUAGAUUCGCGGAACUUGGAUUGAAUUGUAGCAUACAUGUGUUUAUGCAUUUGAUCAGGUUCAUUCUGCAUUUUGUUGCUUAUUGUGGUGCUCAAGUUGUACAAACCCUCCCUGGACCUCACAAGUCCGUUGCAAAGUGAUGCACAUGUUUAGGGGGAGAUGUGUUACAACUUGACCCUUUGAGACUAACCAUGUGCUUGAGUUUGAUAAUUUAGCCUCGAAGGAGGAUUGAAAAGAAAAAGGUGGACUUGGACCAUGAAAGACUUCCACUGCACUCCGAUGAGAGGGUAACUAAUUCCAAGUUCAUCUCAUGAAAUCUUAUUACCAUUUGCUCUUUAUUGAAGACUUUGGUGAGGCAAUGGGGUUCAAAGGCCAAGAUUGAUCCCGUUUUGGUGCUUGAUGCCAAAGGGGGAGAAAAUAAAGGCCAAAGUGAUAAAUGGAUCAGCUACCACUUGAGAGAUUUUGAAAAUAGUAGAAUAGAAUUUUUGGUUUGUCAAAAUUCUUGAAAAUAGUAGAAUAGAAUUUUUGGUUUGUCAAAAUUCUUAUGUUGUCUCUCUUGUCAAUAAUUGGCUUCUUGUGGGGAGAAGUAUUGAUUAUGGGAAAUAGGGGGAGUUUUCGAAAUCUUUGAUCAAUCUCUUUUGGAAUGAUUCUACAUGUGUGUUUAACUUAGAGAUUUGAGUUUGAUUUGCAAAAACAAACCAAGUGGUGGCAAAGGAUGAUCCAUAUAUGCCAAAAUUGAAUAAAACCAAUUUGAGUUUUUAUUUAAAGUGAUUUUGCACUUGUUCUAGUUGCUUUAUGUUGUGUUGGCAUAAAUCACCAAAAAGGGGGAGAUUGAAAGGGAAAUGUGCCCUUGGGCCAUUUCUAUGUAUUUUGGUGAUUGAGUGCCAACACAUGUGCUUAAUUGGGAAUUUAUGUACAUGGAUGAACAAGGUGAAAAUCAUGAAGUAAAGGUAUGUUUCUAAGCCUUAGUACAUUGGUUUUAAGUACUAAUAUAUUUGUCUAAGUGUUAGAAACAGAAAGAAGAAGAAUAGAGAAAAGGAGAAGGGACUUGGCUGUGUGCUGCCAAGACCCAGCUCGGUCUGGAGCACCGGACUGUCCGGUGUGCACCGGACAGUGUCCGGUGCGCCAGGCUGGCGCGACUCGAACUGGCCGCUCUCGGGAAAUUGGCCGGCGGCGUACGGCUAAAAUUCACCGGACUGUCCGGUGUGCACCGGACUGUCCGGUGAGCCAACGGUCGGCCAGGGCCAACGGUCGGCCGCGCAAUCCGCGCGGGACACGUGGCCGAGCCAACGGUCGAAAGACGGCACCGGACUGUCCGGUGUGCACCGGACAUGUCCGGUGCGCCAACAGUGCCAGAUCUGCCAACGGUCUGCAACGGUCGUCUUCGCCGUUUAAGGAAACAAAUCGGGCACCGGACAGUGUCCGGUGUGCACCGGACUGUCCGGUGCCCCCGACGACAGAAGGCAAGGAUGGCCUUCCGGAUUUGCUCUCAACGGCUCCUAGCUGCCUUGGGGCUAUAAAAGGAGCCCCUAGGCGCAUGGAGGAGACACACAAGCAACCUUUGAGCAUUCUUGAUCAUCCACACUAAGUCUCUGCGCAUUCGUUUGUGUUUCUAAGUGAUUCGAGCUCUGUUCUAAGUGAGAACUCUGAGAUAGUCUUGUGAGCUCGAUUCUUGGCCGUGUGUGUGCGCUUUUGCUGUGGAUUUGUGUGUGUUGCUUCCCUCCCUUACUCUGUGUUUCAUUUGUGAUCAUAUACUUGUAAGGGCAAGAGACUCCAAUUUGUGGAGAUUCCUUGCAAACGGGAUAGUGAAAGGAAAACAAAACACCGUGGUAUUCAAGUGGGUCUUUGGACCGCUUGAGAGGGGUUGAUUGCAACCCUCGUCCGUUGGGACGCCACAACGUGGAGUAGGCAAGCGUUGGUCUUGGCCGAACCACGGGAUAAAACCACUGUGUCACUCUGUGCUUGAUUCUCUUGUGGUACUGUGUUUUGUUGAGAUUGUUGAGACUUCACCUUAGCCACUUGGCAAUAAUCGUGCUAACACUUAACAAGUUUUUGUGGCUUAAGUUUGAAGUUUUUACAGGAUCACCUAUUCACCCCCCCCUCUAGGUGCUCUCAGUAAGGAGGUCGUCCACAGUGGUACGCCAUGCCCUAGUUUCCGUGGAUCUCGCCUACACUAUUCCCGCCCAUGACAGCUUGCAAGUGUGUCGUCCUCCUCGCAUGCGAUUUGCGCCCCCACCACAGCGUUGAGAUCAUCGCCCCCUCACCCUCUAGCCGACCUUUUCCUCCAUCAUUGACCCGCCCUCCUGACGCCACUUGCGCUGGCGCCGUCUCCUCCUCGUGCUCCGUCUCCUCACCCUCCUCCGUGUUGCCGAGAUCCGCAUGGUGGCGGCAUCCGAGUACUCCAUCUUCACCGUCUCCAACCCGGAGACUGAAGUUGUGUCUGCCGCCACCUAGCUCGUCCCUAGAUCCGUGCCCACAUACGUCUCCUACCUCAUCGCCAACGUCCGUCGCGUCGACCCCAACCAGUGUCGCCAUUCCGAGCGUCGCCGCUUUCGUGACUUCAUCACGCUGCAGGACCAUCCUGCUCUGGUCCCUCGCUGGUGUCAUCAAAACCCUACGCGAUGUCGUUCUCCUCGGUGCCCGAGAUGAGACUUAGCUCCGAUGCCGAGCUACUUGGCAUCAUCGACUCCGAGAACAAGUAUGCCCGAAAACUAUGAUGACCACGACAGCGUAAUGGAGCACAUUCUCCAAUCUAUUGUGUGUGUAUCUAUUUUCGCAAUAUUAAGCAUCGCCCUGCUCUGGCCCCUUGCUGCCGUCGUGGCGUUGUUAAAGCCCCGUGUGGUGUCGUUCUCCUCAGCGCUUGAGAUGAGACCCAGCUCCGAUGCCGAGCUACUCGACAUCAUCGACUCCGAGAUCAAGUACCCUCGAGGACUGUGAUGACCACGACAGGGUAAUGGAGCAGAUUCCCCUAUAUAUUGUGUGUAUCUAUUUUCUACAAGAGGAAAUUCAGCGCUUACUCCUCUCAACGAUUCGGUUAGUUGUCAUGCUUGCGCACUCCUACCUCAUGGAUUUUUAGUGUGUGUGUUUAGUUGAGUUCGACGUUAUGUCCAUUUUUAGAAUCUAGACUACUGAUCAGUAAUAAGGAUUGUUAACAUUGAUGUGUAGCUGCAAAAACAUAUUAGUAACACACAAAUGUGUCCUAGGUUGACAUAUGGCAAGAAAGGAGAGUUUUUGGCUCAUGUGAUGGGGGCAUCGAUGAUCAGUGUCGGUCCUGACAUUUUAGAGGCCCAGGACAAGACUUAUAAAGGAGGCCCUUUAUAAUAAUUAUUAUUGAAAGUCGCCUAGAGGGGGGGUGAAUAGAGCGAAUCUGAAAUUUAUAAACUUAAGCACAACUACAAGUCAAGGUUAGCGUUAGAAUAUAAACGAGUCCAUGAGAGAGGGCGGAAAAACAAAUCACGGGCAAAUAAAGAGUGAGACACGAUGAUUUGUUUUACCGAGGUUCGGUUCUUGCAAACCUACUCCCCGUUGAGGUGGUCACAAAGACCGAGUCUCUUUCAACCCUUUUCCCUCUCUCAAACGGUCACUUAGACCGAGUGAGCUUCUCUUCUCAAUCAAACGAGACACAAAGUCCCCGCAAGGACCACCACACAAUUGGUGUCUCUUGCCUUGGUUACAAUUGAGUUUGAUUACAAGAAUGAAGAAAGAAAAGAAGCAAUCCAAGCGCAAGAGCUCAAAUGAACACAAAUGUCACUCUCUCUAAUCACUAUUUGAUUUGGAGUGAUUCCGGACUUGUAUAGAUGGCCAUUUGGCACUAACACGAUGGGCCAGCCCAGGCACGGCACGAAAAAGCACGGUCCAGGCACGACCCGGUCUGGUUAGUAUAGUGCCAGUGCCUGGCACGGCACGGCUAUAGUGCCGUGCCUGGGCCACUAUCUCGACCCGUAGUGCUGGCACGGACACGACACGGUUACAUUUUUUAUUUUAAAAAUAAUAGUUUACAUAUAUUAAGUAUAAGAAUUCAACAUAUAAUAUAAUAAAACUACAACUGCACUGGUUAGAUAGAUGCGUUUAAGCCUCUUAUGCACUAGGUUGUGGGUUCAAGCCCUCACAACUACACAUUUUUUGCUAAAUUCUACAAUAUACUCAGAUGGGCCAUAGUGCCACCGGGCCGGCCCGGCACGACUAACAGGCUCACGGGCCGUGCCUGGGCCGCGGCAGCGGCACGCCGGCCCAUCUGGGCACGGCACGCUUGGUAGCCGGGCCUGGCGGGCCGUGCCAGCGACGGGCCGUGCCGGGUCGGGCCGUGCCGGCCCGUUUGGCCAUCUAUACGGACUUGGGAGAGGAUUUGACCUCUUUGGUUGUGUCUAGAAUGGAAUGCUAUAGCUCUUGUAAGGUGUUGAAGGUGGAAAACUUGGAUGCAAUGAAUGGUGGGUGGUUGGGGUAUUUAUAGCCCCAACCACCAAACUAGCCGUUUGGUGGAGACUGCGACAUCGCACAGCGCACAGCUUCUGUCUUCUGGGCCACCGGACAGUCCGGUGGUGCACCAGACAGGCACUGUUCAGUGUCCGGUGCGCCAUCUGGCUCUGCUCUGAGUCUGGUGCGCACUGUAGCGCAUUUAAUGCCUUCUGCAGACGACCGUUGGCGCGAAGUAGUCGUUGCUCCGCUGGCACACCGGACAGUUCGGUGCGCCACCGGACACUGUCCGGUGUACAUUCCGGUGAAUUAUAGCGGAGCGGCCUCCAGAAUUCCCGAAGGUGAGCAGUUCGGAGUUGGAGUCCCUGGUGCACCGGACAUUGUCCGGUGGCACACCAGACAGUCCGAUGCACCAAACCAGGGCACACUUCGGUUGACUUUAGCUCUCAAUAUUUGAAUCCUUUCUCGGUCUUUUUAUUGGUUUGUUGUGAACCUUUGCCACAUGUAGAACUCAUAAUCUAAAGCAAACUAGUUAGUCCAAUUAUUUGUGUUGGGCAUUUCAACCACCAAAAUCAAUUUAGGAAAAGGUGUAAGCCUAUUUCCCUUUCAAUCUCCCCAUUUUUGGUGAUUGAUGCCAACACAAACCAAAGCAAAUGUAGAAGUGCAUAAUUGUAAGUGCAAAGGUUGCUUGGAAUGAAACCAAUAUAUUCUCAUAAGAUAUGCAUGGAUUGUUUCUUUAUAUUUUUAACAUUUUGGACCACGCUUGCACCACAUAUUUUGUUUUUGCAAAUCCUUUUGUAAAUUCAUUUCAAAGUCUUUUUGCAAAUAGUCAAAGGUAAAUGAAUAAGAUUGUGAGGAGCAUUUUCAAGAUUUGAAAUUUUCUCCCCCUGUUUCAAAUGCUUUUCCUUUGACUAAACAAAACUCCCCCUUAAGAAAAUCCUCCUCUUAGUGUUCAAGAGGGUUUUAGAUAUUAGUUUUUGAAGAGGGUGUUCCAAUUUGAAAUUAUAUCAAAAAUAAGAUACCUAUUGAAAAAUUCAUCAUUUUAAACUCUUUUCUUAACUCAAUCUUUGAAAAUUGGUGGUGAUGCGGUCCUUUUGCUUUGGGCUAAUACUUUCUCCCCCUUUGGCAUGAAUCGCCAAAAAUGGAUACUUGAGUGAAAUAUAAGCCCUUUUGUAACUAUUUUCUCCCCCUUUGGCGAACAAAAUAUGAGUAAAGAUUAUACCAAAGACGGAGAGUGGUGUUGCUCGGAGCGACGACGAAGGAUGAGUAAUUUGAUGGAGUGGAGUGGAAGCCUUUGUCUUCGUCGAAAACUCCAAUUCCCUUUCAAUCUAUGACUUGGUUUGAAAUAUGCUUGAAAACAUAUUAGUCAUAGCAUAUAAAAGAGACACGAUCAAAGGUAUAUCUAUGAGCUAUGUGUGCAAAACAUCAAAAGAAAUUCCGAGAAUCAAGAAUAUUUAGCUCAUGCCUAAGUUUGUUAAAAGUUUGUUCAUCUAGUGGCUUGGUAAAGAUAUCGGCUAAUUGUUCUUUGGUGUUAAUAUAUGCAAUCUCGAUAUCUCCCUUUUGUUGGUGAUCCCUUAGAAAAUGAUACCGAAUGACUAUGUGUUUAGUGCGGCUAUGCUCAACGGGAUUAUCCGCCAUGCGGAUUGCACUCUCAUUAUCACAUAGAAGAGGAACUUUGGUUAAUUUGUAACCAUAGUCCCUGAGGGUUUGCCUCAUCCAAAGCAAUUGCGUGCAACAAUGGCCUGCGGCAAUAUACUCGGCUUCGGCGGUAGAAAGAGCCACAGAAUUUUGCUUCUUUGAAGCACAAGACACUAGAGAUCUUCCCAAGAACUGGCAAGUCCCCGAUGUGCUCUUAUAAUUAAUUUUACACCCUGCCCAAUCGGCAUCCGAAUAACCAAUUAAAUCAAAUGUGGAUCCCCGAGGGUACCAAAGCCCAAACUUAGGAGUAUAAACUAAAUAUCUCAAGAUUCGUUUUACGACCGUAAGGUGAGUUUCCUUAGGGUCGGCUUGGAAUCUUGCACACAUGCAUACGAAAAGCAUUAUGUCCGGUCGAGAUGCACAUAAAUAGAGUAAAGAGCCUAUCAUCGACCGGUAUACCUUUUGAUCGACGGAUUUACCUCCUGUGUCAAGGUCGAGAUGCCCAUUGGUUCCCAUGGGUGUCUUGAUGGGUUUGGCAUCCUUCAUCCCAAACUUGGUUAGAAUGUCUUGAAUAUACUUUGUUUGGCUAAUGAAGGUGCCCUCUUGGAGUUGCUUCACUUAAAAUCCCAAGAAGUACUUCAACUCCCCCAUCAUAGACAUCUCGAAUUUCUGUGUCAUGAUCCUACUAAAUUCCUCACAUGUAGAUUCGUUAGUAGACCCAAAUAUAAUAUCAUCAACAUAAAUUUGGCAUAUAAACAAUUCAUUGUCAAGAGUUUUAGUAAAUAAAGUAGGAUCAGCCUUUCCAACUUUGAAACCAUUAGUGAUAAGGAAAUCUCUUAGGCAUUCAUACCAUGCUCUUGGGGCUUGCUUGAGCCCAUAAAGCGCCUUAGAGAGUUUGUAAACAUGGUUAGGGUACUCACUAUCUUCAAAGUCGGGAGGUUGCUCAACAUAGACCUCUUCCUUGAUUGGUCCAUGGAGGAAGGCACUUUUCACGUCCAUUUGGUAAAGCUUAAAGCCAUAGUAAGUAGCAUAGGCAAGUAAUAUGCGAAUUGAUUCUAGCCUAGCUACGAGUGCAUAGGUUUCACCAAAAUCCAAACCUUCGACUUGUGAAUACCCCUUGACCACAAGUCGGGCUUUGUUCCUUGUCACCACGCCAUGCUCAUCUUGCUUGUUGCGGAAGACCCACUUGGUUCCUACAACAUUUUGAUUAGGACGUGGAACUAAAUGCCAUACCUCAUUCCUAGUGAAGUUGUUGAGCUCCUCUUGCAUCGCCACCACCCAAUCCGAAUCUUGAAGUGCUUCCUCUACCCUGUGUGGCUCAAUAGAGGAGACAAAAGAAUAAUGUUCACAAAAAUGAGCAACACGAGAUCGAGUAGUUACCCCCUUUUGAAUAUCGUCGAGGAUAGUGUUCACGGGGUGAUCUCGUUGGAUUUCUUGGUGGACUCUUGGGUGUGGCGGCCUUGGAACUUGUUUAUCUUCCUCAUCUUGAUCAUGGGCAUCUCCCGCUUGAUCAUUGCUCUCCUCUUGAGGUGGCUCGACUUUUUGAUCUUCUCCUUCAUCAUUUUGAGCCUUAUCCUCAUCUUGAGUUGGUGGAGAUGCUUCUGUGGAGGAAGAUGGUUGAUCUUGUGCAUGUGGUGGCUCUUUGGAUUCCUUAGGACACACAUCCCCAAUGGACAUGUUCCUUAGUGCGACGCACGGAGCCCUCUUCAUCACAUAUCUCAUCAAGAUCAACUUGCUCUACUUGAGAGCCGUUAGUCUCAUCAAACACAAUGUCACAAGAAACUUCAACUAGUCCGGAGGACUUGUUAAAGACUCUAUAUGCCCUUGUGUUUGAAUCAUAUCCUAGUAAAACACCUUCUACAGCUUUAGGAGCAAAUUUAGAUUUUCUACCUCUCUUAACAAGAAUAAAGCAUUUGCUCCCAAAGACUCUAAAAUACGAAACAUUGGGCUUUUUACCGGUUAGGAGUUCGUAUGAUGUCUUCUUGAGGAUUCGGUGUAGAUACAACCGGUUGAUGGCAUAGCAAGCGAUGUUGACCGCCUCGCCCCAAAACCGAUCCGAAGUCUUGUACUCAUCAAGCAUGGUUCUUGCCAUGUCCAGUAGAGUUCGAUUCUUCCUCUCCACUACACCAUUUUGUUGUGGCGUGUAGGGAGAGGAGAACUCAUGCUUGAUGCCCUCCUCCUCAAGGAAGCCUUCAAUUUGUGAGUUCUUGAACUCUGUUCCGUUGUCGCUUCUUAUUUUCUUGAUCCUCAACCCGAACUCAUUUUUAGCCCGUCUCAAGAAUCCCUUUAAGGUCUCUUGGGUAUGAGAUUUUUCCUGCAAAAAGAACACCCAAGUGAAGCGAGAAUAGUCAUCCACAAUAACUAGACAGUACUUACUCCCGCCGAUGCUUAUGUAAGCGAUCAGGCCGAAUAGAUCCAUGUGUAGGAGCUCGAGUGGCCUGUCAGUCGUCAUAAUGUUCUUGUGUGGAUGAUGAACACCAACUUGCUUCCCUGCCUAACAUGCGCUACAAAUCCUGUCUUUCUCAAAAUGAACACCUGUUAGUCCCAAAAUGUGUUCUCCCUUUAGAAGCUUGUGGAGAUUCUUCAUUCCAACAUGUGCUAGUCGGCGAUGCUAGAGCCAGCCCAUGUUAGUCUUAGAAAUUAAGCAAGUGUCGAGUUCAACUCUAUCAAAAUGCUAUUGAAUCAUCACAUCUUCUAAAGACAGUAACACCUACAUCUGUAAAAAGACAGUUGUAGCCCAUUUUACAUAAUUGCGAAACUGAAAGCAAGUUGUAAUCUAAAGAAUCUACAAGAAAAACAUUGGAAAUGGAAUGGUCAGGUGAUAUAACAAUUUUACCCAAUCCUUUGACCAAAACUUGAUUCCCAUCCUCGAAUGUGAUAGCUCGUUGGGGAUCUUGGUUUUUCUCGUAGGAGGAGAACAUCUUCUUCUCCCCUGUCAUAUGGUUUGUGCACCCGCUAUCGAUGAUCCAACUUGAGCCCCCGGAUGCAUAAACCUACAAAACAGAUUUAGUUCUUGAUUUUAGGUACCCAAAUGGUUUUGGUUCCUUUGACAUUAGAUACAAGAAUUUUGGGUACCCAAACACAAGUCUUUGACCCCUUGUGCUUGCCCCCAACAUACUUGGCAACUACCUUGCCGGAUUUGUUAGUUAAAACAUAAGAUGCAUCAAGAGUUUUAAAUGAAAUUUUAGAAUCAUUUGAUGUAAUUGGAGUUUUCUUAGGCAAUUUCGCAUGGGUUGAUUGCCUAGAGUUAGAUGUCUCACCCUUAUACAUAAAAGCAUGAUUAGGGCCAGAGUGAGACUUCCUAGAAUGAAUUCUCCUAAUUUUGCUCUCGGGAUAAGCGGCAGGGUACAAAAUGUAACCCUCGUUAUCCUGAGGCAUGGGAGCCUUGCCCUUAACAAAGUUAGACAAUCUUUUAGGAGGGGCAUUAAGUUUGACAUUGUCCCCCUUUUGGAAGCCAAUGUCAUCCUUGAUGCCAGGGCGUCUCCCACUAUAGAGCAUGCUUCUAGCAAAUUUAAAUUUUUCAUUUUCUAAGUCAUGCUCAUUAAUCUUUGCAUUAAGUUGGGCUAUGUGAUCAUUUUGUUUCUUAAUUAAUGCUAGGUGAUCAUGAAUAGCAUCAACAUUAAUAUCUCUACAUCUAGUACAAAUGGAAACAUGCUCAAUGGUAGAUGUAGAGGGUUUGUAAGAUUUUAGUUCAAUAAUCUUAGCAUGUAAUAUGUCAUUCUCACUUCUAAGAUUGGAUAUGGUAAUAUUGCAAACAUCUAAAUCCUUAGCCUUAGCAAUCAAGUUUUCAUUUUCAUUUCUAAGGCUAGCAAGAGAAACAUUUAAUUCUUCAAUCUUAGCAAGUAAUUUAACAUUAUCAUCUCUGAAAGUCGCCUAGAGGGGGGGUGAAUAGGGCGAAACUGAAAUUCUCAAAAAUAAUCACAACUACAAGCCGGGUUAGCGUUAGAAAUAUAAUCGAGUCCGCGAGAGAGGGCGCAAAACAAAUCGCAAGAGAAUAAGGAGUGUGACACGCGGAUUUGUUUUACCGAGGUUCGGUUCUCGCAAACCUACUCCCCGUUGAGGAGGCCACAAAGGCCGGGUCUCUUUCAACUCAUCCCUCUCUCAAAUGGUCCCUCGGACCGAGUGAGCUUCUCUUUCUCAAAUCACUUGGGAAUCAAACUUCCCGCAAGGACCACCACACGAUUGGUGUCUCUUGCCUUAAUAACAAGUGAGUGUUUGAUCACAAGAAAGAAUGCCAAAGAAAAAGAAGCGAUCCAAGCGCAAGAGCUCAAAUGAACACUACAAAUCACUCUCUCUAGUCACUAAGGCUUUGUGUGGAGUUGGGAGAGGAUUUGAUCUCUUUUGGUGUGCUUUGCAAUGAAUGCUAGCUCUUGUAUAGUGGUUGGAAGCUGGAAAACUUGGAUGACUUGAAUGUGGGGUGGUUGGGGGUAUUUAUAGCCCCAACCACCAAACUAGCCGUUGGUGGAGGCUGUCUGUUGUAUGGUGCACCGGACAGUCCGGUGCACACCGGACAUGUCCGGUGCGCCAGCCACGUCACCAAAGCCGUUGCAAUUUGACCGUUGGAGUUCUGACUUCUGGGCCUGCCUGGAUGUCCGGUGGCGCACCAGACAUGUACUGUAGAGUGUCCGGUGCGCCAGCAUGGGCGUGCCUGACGCCUGCGCGCUCUGACGCGCAUUAAUUGCUGUUGCAGGCGACCGUUGGCGCGAAGUAGCCGUUGCUCCGCAGUUGCACCGGACAGUCCGGUGUACACCGGACAUGUCCGGUGAAUUAUAGCGGAGCAGCCGCUACAGAUUCCCGAGGCUGCCAAGUUCCAGAGCCGCGUCCUUUUGGUGCACCGGACACUGUCCGGUGUACACCGGACAGUCCGGUGAAUUAUAGCGCGCCGGCUUCUGGAAAUUCCCGAGGUUGAGGAGUUCAGUGCGCGGUCCCCUGGUGCACCGGACACUGUCCGGUGCGCCACCGGACAGUCCGGUGCGUCAGACCAGGGAGCCUUUCGGGAUGCCUUUAGCUCACUAAUUUGAACCCAACUUUGGUCUUUUUAAUUGGCUUGUUGUGAACCUUUGACACCUGUAUAACUUAUACACUAGAGCAAACUAGUUAGUCCACUUGUUUGUGUUGGACAAUUCAACCACCAAAAUUAUUUAGGAACUAGGUGUAAGCCUAAUUCCCUUUCAAUCUCCCCCUUUUUGGUGAUUGAUGCCAACUCAAACCAAAGCAAAUGUAGAAGUGCAUAAUUGAACUAGUUUGCAUAAUGUAAGUGCAAAGGUUGCUUGGAAUUGAGCCAAUGUAAAUUCUUACAAGAUAUGCAUGGAUUGUUUCUUUGUCUUUAUCAUUUUGGACCACGCUUGCACCACAAGUUUUGUUUUUGCAAACUCUUUUGUAAAUCCUUUACAAGGUUCUUUUGCAAAUAGUCAAAGAUGAAUGAAGAAUAAGAUUUUGCAAAACAUUUUUCAAGAUUUGAAAUUUUCUCCCCCUGUUUCAAAUGCUUUUCCUUUGAUUAAACAAAACUCCCCCUAAAUGAGAUCCUCCUCUUAGUGUUCAAGAGGGUUUUGAUAUAUCAUUUUUGAAAUACUACUUUCUCCCCCUUUUUAACAUAAUAAGAUAUCAAUUUGAAAUUUACCAAUUGAAAAUCUCUCCAAUUUUAAAAUAGGUGGUGGUGCGGUCCUUUAAAAUAGGUGGUGGUGCGGUCCUUUUGCUUUAGGCUCAUACUUUCUCCCCCUUUGGCAUGAAUCGCCAAAAACGGAUACUUUGAGUGAGAUAUAAGCCCUUGAAUUACUUUCUCCCCCUUUGGUCAUAAAUAAAACAUGUGAGUAAAGAUUAUACCAAAGAUGGAGAGUGAUGCAGAGAGACGGCGAAGGAUGAGUGGUAGAGUGGAGUGGAAGCCUUUGUCUUCGCCGAAGACUCCAAUUCCCUUUUAAUAUACCUAUGACUUGUUUUGAAAUACACUUGAAAACACAUCAGUCAUAGCAUAUAUAAAAGAGACAUGAUCAAAGGUAUAUUUAUGAGUUAUGUGUGCAAAUUAGCAAAAGAAGUUCCUAGAAUCAAGAAUAUUGAGCUCAUGCCUAAGUUUGGUAAAGGUUUGUUCAUCAAGUGGCUUGGUAAAGAUAUCGGCUAAUUGAUCUUUAGUGUUAAUGUAUGAAAUCUCGAUAUCCCCCUUUUGUUGGUGAUCCCGAAGAAAAUGAUACCGAAUGGCUAUGUGUUUAGUGCGGCUAUGCUCAACGGGAUUAUCCGCCAUGCGGAUUGCACUCUCAUUAUCACAUAGAAGAGGAACUUUGGUUAGUUUGUAACAGUAGUCCCGCAGGGUUUGCCUCAUCCAAAGCAAUUGUGCGCAACAGUGGCCUGCGGCAAUAUACUCGGCUUCGGCGGUGGAAAGAGCGACCGAAUUUUGCUUCUUUGAAGCCCAAGACACCAAGGAUCUUCCCAAGAACUGGCAAGUCCCCGAUGUGCUCUUCCUAUUGAUUUUGCACCCCGCCCAAUCGGCAUCCGAAUAACCAAUCAAAUCAAAUGUGGAUCCCCGAGGGUACCAAAGCCCAAACUUAGGUGUGUAAGCCAAAUAUCUCAAGAUUCGUUUUACGGCCGUAAGAUGUGAUUCCUUAGGGUCGGCUUGGAAUCUUGCACACAUGCAAACGGAAAGCAUAAUGUCCGGUCGAGAUGCACAUAAAUAGAGCAAUGAACCAAUCAUCGACCGGUAUACCUUUUGAUCAACGGACUUACCACCCGUGUCGAGGUCGAGAUGCCCAUUGGUUCCCAUGGGUGUCUUGAUGGGCUUGGCAUCCUUCAUUCCAAACUUGCUUAGAAUGUCUUGAGUAUACUUCGUUUGGCUAAUGAAGGUGCCCUCUUGGAGUUGCUUGACUUGGAAUCCUAGAAAAUACUUCAACUCCCCCAUCAUCGACAUCUCAAAUUUCUUUGUCAUGAUCCUACUAAAUUCUUCACAUGUAGAUUCGUUAGUAGACCCAAAUAUGAUAUCAUCAACAUAAAUUUGGCAUACAAACAAAUCAUUGUCAAGAGUUUUAGUGAAUAAAGUAGGAUCGGCCUUGCCGACUUUGAAGCCAUUAGCAAUAAGGAAAUCUCUAAGGCAUUCAUACCAUGCUCUUGGGGCUUGCUUGAGCCCAUAAAGCGCCUUAGAGAGCCUAUAAACAUGGUUAGGGUACUCACUAUCUUCAAAGCCGGGAGGUUGCUCAACAUAGACCUCCUCCUUGAUUGGUCCGUUGAGGAAGGCACUCUUCACGUCCAUUUGGUAAAGCUUGAAGCCAUGGUAAGUAGCAUAGGCCAAUAAUAUACGAAUUGACUCAAGCCUAGCUACGGGUGCAUAGGUUUCACCAAAAUCCAAACCUUCGACUUGUGAAUACCCCUUGGCCACGAGUCGAGCUUUGUUCCUUGUCACCACACCAUGCUCGUCUUGCUUGUUGCGGAAGACCCACUUGGUUCCUACAACAUUUUGAUUAGGACGUGGAACCAAAUGCCAUACCUCGUUCCUCGUGAAGUUGUUGAGCUCCUCUUGCAUCGCCAUCACCCAAUCCGAAUCUUGGAGUGCUUCCUCUACCCUGUGUGGCUCAAUAGAGGAAACAAAAGAGUAAUGCUCACAAAAAUGUGCAACACGAGAUCGAGUGGUUACCCCCUUAUGAAUGUCGCCGAGGAUGGUGUCGACGGGAUGAUCUCGUUGUAUUGCUUGGUGGACUCUUGGGUGUGGCGGCCUUGGUUGUUUAUCAUCCUCCUUGUCUUCAUUAUUUGCAUUUCCCCCUUGAUCAUUGCCAUCAUCUUGAGGUGGCUCAUCAUGUUGUUCUUCCUCUUUAUCAACUUGAGCCUCAUCCUCAAUUUGGGUUGGUGGAGAUGCUUGCGUGGAGGAAGAUGGUUGAUCUUGUGCUCUUGGAGGCUCUUUGGAUUCCUUAGGACACACAUCCCCAAUGGACAUGUUCCUUAGCGCGAUGCACGGAGCCUGUUCUUCACCUAUCUCAUCAAGAUCAACAUGCUCUACUUGAGAGCCGUUAGUCUCAUCAAACACAACGUCACAAGAAACUUCAACAAGUCCUGAGGACUUGUUAAAGACUCUAUAUGACCUUGUGUUUGAGUCAUAUCCUAGUAAAAAGCCUUCUACAGUUUUAGGAGCAAAUUUAGAUUUUCUACCUCUUUUAACAAGAAUAAAGCAUUUGCUACCAAAAAACUCUAAAAUAUGAAAUAUUGAGCUUUUUACCGGUUAGGAGUUCAUAGGAUGUCUUCUUGAGGAUUCGGUGUAGAUAUAACCAGUUGAUGGCGUAACAAGCGGUGUUGACCGCCUCGGCCCAAAACCGAUCCGGUGUCUUGUACUCAUCAAGCAUGGUUCUUGCCAUGUCCAAUAGAGUUUGAUUCUUCCUCUCCACUACACCAUUUUGUUGUGGGGUGUAGGGAGAAGAGAACUCAUGCUUGAUGCCCUCCUCCUCGAGGAAGCCUUCAAUUUGAGAGUUCUUGAACUCCGUCCCGUUGUCGCUUCGAAUUUUCUUGAUCCUUAAGUCGAACUCAUUUUGAGCCCGUCUCAAGAAUCCCUUUAAGGUCUCUUGGGUAUGAGAUUUUUCCUGCAAAAAGAAUACCCAAGUGAAGCGAGAAUAAUCAUCCACAAUAACUAGACAGUACUUACUCCCGCCGAUGCUUAUGUAAGCGAUCGGGCCGAAUAGGUCCAUGUGUAGGAGCUCCAGUGGCCUGUCACUAGUCAUGAUGUUCUUGUGUGGAUGAUGAGUGCCAACUUGCUUUCCUGCUUGGCAUGCGCUACAAAUCCUGUCUUUCUCAAAAUGAACAUUUGUUAGUCCCAAAAUGUGCUCUCCCUUUAGAAGCUUAUGAAGAUUCUUCAUUCCAACGUGGGCUAGUCGGCGAUGCCAGAGCCAACCCAUGUUAGUCUUAGCAAUUAAGCAUGUGUCGAGUUCAGCUCUAUCAAAAUCUACCAAGUAUAGCUGACCCUCUAACACACCCUUAAAUGCUAUUGAAUCAUCACUUCUUCUAAAGACAGUGACACCUACAUCAGUAAAGAGACAGUUGUAGCCCAUUUGACAUAAUUGAGAUACAGAAAGCAAAUUGUAAUCUAAAGAAUCUACAAGAAAAACAUUGGAAAUAGUAUAGUCAGGUGAUAUAGCAAUUUUACCCAAUCCUUUGACCAAACCUUGAUUUCCAUCCCCGAAUGUGAUAGCUCGUUGGGGAUCUUGGUUUUUCUCAUAUGAGGAGAACAUCUUCUUCUCCCCUGUCAUGUGGUUUGUGCACCCACUAUCGAGUAUCCAACUUGAGCCCCCGGAUGCAUAAACCUACAAAACAAUUUUAGUUCUUGAUUUUAGGUACCCAAACGGUUUUGGGUCCUUUGGCAUUAGAAACAAGAACUUUGGGUACUCAAACACAAGUCUUGGAACCCUUGUGUUUGCCCCCAACAAACUUGGCAACUACCUUGCCGGAUUUGUUAGUAAGCACAUAAGAUGCAUCAAAAGUUUUAAAUGAAAUACUAUGAUCAUUUGAUGCAAUAGGAGUUUUCUUCUUAGGCAACUUGGCACGGGUUGGUUGCCUAGAUCUAGAUGUCUCACCCUUAUACAUAAAAGCAUGGUUAGGGCCAGAGUGAGACUUCCUAGAAUGAAUUUUCUUAAUUUUGCUCUCGGGAUAACCGGCAGGGUACAAAAUGUAACCCUCGUUAUCCUGAGGCAUGGGAGCAUUGCCCUUAACAAAGUUAGACAAGUUUUUAGGAGGGACAUUAAGUUUGACAUUGUCUCCCCUUUGGAAGCCAAUGCCAUCCUUGAUGCCAGGGCGUCUCCCAUUAUAGAGCAUACUUCUAGCAAAUUUAAACUUUUCAUUUUCUAAGUUAUGCUCGGCAAUUUUAGCAUCUAAUAUUGUUAUAUGAUCAUUUUGUUGUUUAAUUAAAGCCAUGUGAUCAUGAAUAGCAUUGAUAUCAAUAUCUCUACUUCUAGUACAAAUAGAAGUGUGCUCAACGGUAGAUGUAGAGGGUUUGCAAGAUUUUAAUUCUACAACCUUAGCAUGCAACAUAUCAUUCUUGGUUCUAAGGUCGGAAAUGGUAGUAUUGCAAACAUCAAAAUCUUUAGCCUUAGCAAUUAACUUUUCAUUUUCAAUUCUAAGGCUAUCAAGAGAAAUAUUCAAUUCAUCAAUCUUAGCAAGCAAAUCAACAUUAUCAUCUCUAGGAUUGGAAAUUGAAUCAAUACAAACAUGGGAAUCAACCUUAGCAAUUAAUUUAGCAUUUUCAUUUCUAAGGUUGUUAAUGGUCUCAUGGCAAGUGCUUAUCUCACUAGAUAAUUUUUCACAUUUUUCAACUUGUAGAGCAUAAGCAUUUUUAACCUUAACAUGCUUUUUAUUUUCCUUGAUUAGGAAGUCCUCUUGGGAGUCCAAGAGAUCAUCCUUCUCAUGGAUGGCACUAAUCAAUUCAUUUAAUUUUUCUUUUUGUUGCAUGUUUAGGUCGGCAAAAAGGGUACGCAAAUUAUUUUCCUCAUCACUAGCAUUAUCAUCACUAGAGGAUUCAUAUUUAGUGGAGGAUUUAGAUUUAACCUUCUUCCUUUUGCCGUCCUUUGCCAUGAGGCACUUGUGGCCGACGUUGGGGAAGAGGAGUCCCUUGGUGACGGCGAUGUUGGCGGCGUCUUCGUCGGAUGAGGACUCGGUGGAGCUCUCGUCGGAGUCCCACUCCCGGCAAACAUGGCCAUCGCCGCCCUUCUUCUUGUAGUACUUCUUCUUUUCUCUCCUCUUUCCCUUCUUGUCGUCGCCCCUGUCACUGUCACUAGAUAUAGGACAUUUUGCAAUAAAAUGACCGGGCUUACCACACUUGUAGCACACUUUCUUGGAGCGGGGUUUGUAGUCCUUCCCCCUCCGUUGCUUGAGGAUUUGGCGAAAGCUUUUGAUGAUUAAAGCCAUCUCCUCAUUGUCGAGCUUGGAGGUGUCAAUUGGUUGUCUACUCGGUGUAGACUCCUCCUUCUUCUCCUCCGUCGCCUUGAACGCCACUGGUUGAGCUUCGGACGUGGAGGGUUCGUCAAGCUCGUUGAUCUUCUUUGAGCCUUUAAUCAUACAUUCAAAGCUCACAAAAUUCCCGAUAACUUCCUCGGGAGUCAUUAGUGUGUAUCUAGGAUUACCACGAAUUAAUUGAACUUGAGUGGGGUUAAGGAAAAUAAGAGAUCUUAGAAUAACCUUAACCACCUCGUGGUCGUCCCACUUCUUACUCCCGAGGUUGCGCACUUGGUUCACCAAGGUCUUGAGCCGGUUGUACAUAUCUUGUGGCUCCUCCCCUUAGCGAAGACGAAAGCGACCAAGCUCCCCCUCGAUCGUUUCCCGCUUGGUGAUCUUGGUGAGUUCAUCACCCUCGUGCGCGGUCUUGAGAAGGUCCCAAAUUUCCUUUGCAUUCUUCAACCCUUGCACCUUGUUGUAUUCCUCCUUGCUUAGAGAGGCGAGGAGUAUGGUUGUAGCUUGGGAGUUGAAGUGCUCGAUUUGGGCCACUUCGUCUGUAUCAUAAUCCUCAUCCCCUAUGGAUGGUACCUGUGCUCCAAACUCAACAACAUUCCAUAUACUUUUGUGGAGUGAGGUUAGAUGAAAUUUCAUUAAAUCACUCUACCUAGCAUAAUCUUCGCCAUCAAAAGUUGGCGGUUUGCCUAAUGGAACAGAAAGUAAUGGAGUAUGUCUAGAUGUACGAGGAUAGUGUAAGGGGAUCUUACUAAACUUCUUGCACUCUUGGCGCUUAGAAGUUACGGACGGCGCAUCGGAGUCGGAGGUCGAUGUUGAUGAAGUGUCGGUCUCGUAGUAGACCACCUUCCUCAUCCUCUUGUGCUUGUCGUCUUUCCGAUGCGACUUGUGGGAAGAAGAUUUUUCCUUCUUCUCUUUGUGGUGAGAAGAAGAAGACCUUUUCUCCUUCCGUUUGGAGGAGUCCUUCUUCUUCUCCUUCCUCUUGGUGCGGGACUCUUCCGAUGAAGUGCUCCCUUGGCUCGUAGUGGGCUUGUCGCCGGUCUCCAUCUCCCUCUUGGUGUGAUCUCCCGACAUCACUUCGAGCGGUUAGGCUGUAAUGAAGCACCGGACUCUGAUACCAAUUGAAAGUCGCCUAGAGGGGGGUGAAUAGGGCGAAACUGAAAUUCUCAAAAAUAAUCACAACUACAAGCCGGGUUAGCGUUAGAAAUAUAAUCGAGUCCGCGAGAGAGGGCGCAAAACAAAUCGCAAGAGAAUAAGGAGUGCGACACGCUGAUUUGUUUUACCGAGGUUCGGUUCUCGCAAACCUACUCCCCGUUGAGGAGGCCACAAAGGCCGGGUCUCUUUCAACCCUUCCCUCUCUCAAACGGUCCCUCGGACCGAGUGAGCUUCUCUUUCUCAAAUCACUUGGGAAUCAAACUUCCCGCAAGGACCACCACACGAUUGGUGUCUCUUGCCUUAAUUACAAGUGAGUGUUUGAUCACAAGAAAGAAUGCCAAAGAAAAGAAGCGAUCCAAGCGCAAGAGCUCAAAUGAACACUACAAAUCACUCUCUCUAGUCACUAAGGCUUUGUGUGGAGUUGGGAGAGGAUUUGAUCUCUUUUGGUGUGCUUUGCAAUGAAUGCUAGCUCUUGUAUAGUGGUUGGAAGCUGGAAAACUUGGAUGACUUGAAUGUGGGGUGGUUGGGGGUAUUUAUAGCCCCAACCACCAAACUAGCCGUUGGUGGAGGCUGUCUGUCGUAUGGUGCACCGGACAGUCCGGUGCACACCGAACAUGUCCGGUGCGCCAGCCACGUCACCAAAGCCGUUGCAAUUUGACCGUUGGAGUUCUGACUUCUGGGCCUGCCUGGAUGUCCGGUGGCGCACCGGACAUGUACUGUAGAGUGUCCGGUGCGCCAGCAUGGGCGUGCCUGACGCCUGCGCGCUCUGGCGCGCAUUAAUUGCUGUUGCAGGCGACCGUUGGCGCGAAGUAGCCGUUGCUCCGCAGUUGCACCGGACAGUCCGGUGUACACCGGACAUGUCCGGUGAAUUAUAGCGGAGCAGCCGCUACAGAUUCCCGAGGCUGCCAAGUUCCAGAGCCGCGUCCUUUUGGUGCACCGGACACUGUCCGGUGUACACCGGACAGUCCGGUGAAUUAUAGCGCGCCGGCUUCUGGAAAUUCCCGAGGUUGAGGAGUUCAGUGUGCGGUCCCCUGGUGCACCGGACACUGUCCGGUGCGCCACCGGACAGUCCGGUGCGCCAGACCAGGGAGCCUUUCGGGAUGCCUUUAGCUCACUAAUUUGAACCCAACUUUGGUCUUUUUAAUUGGCUUGUUGUGAACCUUUGACACCUGUAUAACUUAUACACUAGAGCAAACUAGUUAGUCCACUUGUUUGUGUUGGACAAUUCAACCACCAAAAUUAUUUAGGAACUAGGUGUAAGCUUAAUUCCCUUUCAAUCUCUAAGAUUAGGAAUUGAAGCAUCACAAACAUUUGAAUCAACCUUAGCAAUUAAACUAGCAUUCUCAUUUCUAAGGUUGGUAAUGACAUCAUGGCAAGUGCUUAGCUCACUAGAUAAUUUUUCACAUUUUUCUACUUCUAGAGCAUAAGCAUUCUUAACCUUAACAUGCUUCUUAUUUUCCUUAAUUAGGAAGUCCUCUUGGGAGUCCAAGAGUUCAUCCCUUUCAUGAAUAGCACUAAUUAAUUCAUUUAAUUUUUCUUUUUGUUGCAUGUUUAGGUUGGCAAAAAGGGUACGCAAAUUAUCCUCCUCAUCACUACAAUUAUCCUCAUCACUAGAGGUUUCAUAUUUAGUGGAGGAUCUUGAUUUUACCUUCUUCCUUUUGCCGUCCAUUGCCAUGAGGCACUUGUGGCCGAUGUUUGGGAAGAGGAGGCCCUUGGUGACGGCGAUGUUGGCGGCGUCCUCAUCGGAGGAGGAGUCGGUGGAGCUCUCGUCGGAGUCCCACUCGCAGCACACAUGGGCAUCGCCACCCCUCUUCUUGUGAUACCUCUUCUUUUCUCUCCUCUUGCCCUUCUUGUCGUCGCCCCUGUCACUGUCACUAGAUAGUGGAUAUUUUGCAAUAAAAUGAUUGGGCUUACCACAAUUGUAGCAAACUUUCUUGGAGCGGGGCUUGAAAUCUUUCCCCCUCCUUUGCUUGAGGAUUUGGCGGAAGCUCUUGAUGAUGAGCGCCAUUUCCUCAUUGUCGAGCUUAGAGGCGUCGAUGGGUUGUCUACUUGAUGUAGACUCCUCCUUCUUCUCCUCCGUUGCCUUGAAUGCGACCGGUUGUGCUUCGGUCGUGGAGGGGCCAUCUAGCUCGAUGAUUUUCUUUGAGCCUUUGAUCAUCAACUCAAAGCUCACAAAGUUUCUUAUUACUUCCUCGGGAGACAUUAGUGUAUAUCUAGGAUUACCACGAAUUAAUUUGAACUUGCGUAGGGUUAAGAAAAACAAGUGAUCUAAGGAUAACCUUAACCAUUUCAUGGUCAUCCUAUUUUGUGCUCCCGAGGUUGCGCACUUGGUUAACCAAGGUCUUCAAGCGGUUGUACAUGGCUUGAGGGUCCUCGCCUUGGUUGAGUCGGAAUCGACCGAGCUCCCCCUCGAUCGUCUCCCGCUUGGUGAUUUUGGUCACCUCAUCUCCUUCGUGCGCGGUUUUGAGUACGUCCCAAAUCUCCUUAGCACUCUUCAAUCCUUGCACCUUGUUAUACUCCUCUCGACUUAGAGAGGUGAGGAGUAUAGUGGUGGCUUGGGAGUUGAAGUGCACGAUUUGGGCCACCUCGUCCUCAUCAUAAUCUUCAUCCCCUACGGAUGGUACCUGUACACCAAACUCAACAACAUCUCAUAUGCUUUUGUGGAGUGAGGUUAGGUGAUAUCUCAUCAUUUCACUCCACCUAGAAUAAUCUUCACCGUCAAAUGUCGGUGGUUUGCCUAAUGGGACGGAAAGUAAUGGAGUAUGCUUAGGAAUGCGAGGAUAGCGUAGGGGGAUAUUACUAUACUUCUUGCGCUCUUGGCGCUUAGAAGUGACGGACUCGGUGUCGGAUCCGGAUGUAGAGGGUGAGGAAGAAUCAGUCUCGUAGUAGACCACUUUCUUCAUUUUCUUCUUCUUCUCGCCACUCUUGUGCGAUCGAAUGCGUGAAGGGGGUCCAUCCUUCUUUUUGUUGGCGGACUCCCUUGAUGGAGCCUUCCCGUGGCUUGUAGCGGACUUCUCACCGCCGAUCACCAUCUUCUUGGCGUAAUCUCCCGACAUCACUUCGAGCGGUUAAGCUCUAAUGAAGCACCGGGCUCUGAUACCAAUUGAAAGUCGCCUAGAGGGGGGGUGAAUAGGGAGAAUCUGAAAUUUAUAAACUUAAGCACAACUACAAGCCGGGGUUAGCGUUAGAAAUAUAAACGAGUCCGUGAGAGAGGGCGGAAAAACAAAUCGCGGGCAAAUAAAGAGUGAGACACGAUGAUUUGUUUUACCGAGGUUCGGUUCUUGCAAACCUACUCCCCGUUGAGGUGGUCACAAAGACCGGGUCUCUUUCAACCCUUUUCCCUCUCUCAAACGGUCACUUAGACCGAGUGAGCUUCUCUUCUCAAUCAAACGGGACACAAAGUCCCCGCAAGGACCAACACACAAUUGGUGUCUCUUGCCUUGGUUACAAUUGAGUUUGAUCACAAGAAUGAAGAAAGAAAAGAAGCAAUCCAAGCGCAAGAGCUCAAAUGAACACAAAUGUCACUCUCUCUAGUCACUAUUUGAUUUGGAGUGAUUCCGGACUUGGGAGAUGAUUUGAUCUCUUUGGUUGUGUCUAGAAUUGAAUGUUAUAGCUCUUGUAAGGUGUUGAAGGUGGAAAACUUGGAUGCAAUGAAUGGUGCGUGGUUGGGGGUAUUUAUAGCCCCAACCACCAAACUAGUCGUUUGGUGGAGGCUGCUGUCGCAUGGCGCACCGGACAGUCCGGUGCGCCUGCCACGUCACCAAACCGUUGGAUUCCGACCGUUGGAGCUUCUGUCUUCUGGGCCACCGGACAGUCUGGUGGUACACCAGACAGUCUGGUGGUACACCGGACAGGCACUGUUCAGUGUCCGGUGCGCCAUCUGGCUCUGCUCUGACUCUGGCGCGCACUGUAGCGCAUUUAAUGCCUUCUGUAGACGACCAUUGGCGCGAAGUAGCCAUUGCUCCGCUGGCACACCGGACAGUCCGGUGCUACACCGGACAGUCCAGUGCUACACCGGACAGUCCGGUGAAUUAUAGCGGAGCGGCCUCCAGAAUUCCCGAAGGUGAGCAGUUCGGAGUUGGAGUCCCUGGUGCACCGGACACUAUCCGGUGGCACACCGGACAGUCCGAUGCGCCAAACCAGGGCACACUUCGGUUGACUUUAGCUCUCAAUAUUUGAAUCCUUUCUCGGUCUUUUUAUUGGUUUGUUGUGAACCUUUGGCACCUUUAGAACUCAUAAUCUAGAGCAAACUAGUUAGUCCAAUUAUUUGUGUUGGGCAUUUCAACCACCAAAAUCAAUUUAGGAAAAGGUGUAAGCCUAUUUCCCUUUCAAUUAUUACACAUAAAUAUAGUAUAUAUAUAUAUAUUGUCUACAACUGUGCAAAAACGUCGUUGUCUCGUUGUACGCUGAGAGCCUAAGUGGUUGGGCCUGAAACUAUGAAGUACUACUACUAGAAUAUAGAAAUCAAGAUUGAUAGGGUAUGCCUAAUUACCCUUGCUUGUUGUUGUCGUGUUGUUGACUUAUAAUUAGGUCUUUAAAAUUUUUAUAGAGCUAGUAGACAAGCCUAUAUAUAUAUAUAUAUAUAUAUAUAUAUAUAUAUAUAUAUAUAUAUAUAUAUAUAUAUAUAUAUAUAUAUAUAUAUAUAUAUAUCGAGGUAAUGGAAGCCCUGGGCUUCGAUUAGUAGGGGAAGCCUCAGUCAGGACACGGAUAGGCCACCACCUCGCGUGAUUGCGUCAGCAUUUAUGCUGGUAUAACCGAAUUAUAGAAUUUGCAUAUACCAUACAACGAAUCUGGAAAGGCAGUUCACCUAUGCAUGUGUCAGUAUUUAUACCGGGAUAAAUAGAUUGAAUAAUGUGCAUAAACCAUGCAAAAAGAAUCUGCUGACGCGCAAAUCACAUGUGACGACUUUACAAGUUUGUUCAGUGUUUACGACUGCAUAAGAACAUGAAACGUAACAGCAUAAACCAUGCAAUAUCGCUACGUCAAACUAUUCAUGCUAUUGUAUAUAUGUGACCAGUGUGUGCGUAGAUCUGGGUUGGUUUGAGAUUAGGAAAGUAGUGCUGCAGAUUCGCGAUAAAUGUGGAAUGAUUACCGCGUAAAUCGUCGAUCUGUUUCGUAACGACGAAUGGGGCGCAAAUUACGGCGCGAAAAUCACACGCUCCGAUCGUGCUAGGGUUCUAGCUCGGGUGGAUUUAAGCAUAAAACGUGAACCCAAAUAGCAUAAAUGAAUACGAAAUUUACGUUAAUUAUCGAUCUGUUUUGUAAUGGCGAAUGUGGCACUUGCUUUUUAGUGGAAGCGUAAAACACAACGAGAAGUAUCGUAAAUUUUUGUUUGAAAAUGUAUGAAUCACGAUGAUCAUAGAAGGCAUUUGUUUUUGUGCAUAGUAUGCCAAAAUAUAAAGUACAACAUACACAACCACAUCAAAUUCUAGAUAUUAAUUAAUCCUUCCAGUUGAGAAACGUUUAGGAGUUCCUGAAGAGCUAAGCUAAACAGAUUGACUCCAUUCCAGUUAAAACUUCAAGCUCCUGACCAACAACCUAUCACAAGGAAACACAUAUAUACGAUAGUACAAAAGGCGGUUUCAGACAGUAUGACGAAAUAAGCGUAAACUUGUGUACAACAAAGCAUAAAAGUCUGUUGACGUCAUAUUGAAUGGAUCAGAUGGUGCGUCUGAGACAUCUUGUGGGCUGGUCGGGUGAGGGUCAGGGCUUUCCCUAGUUUGCUUUAUAGUUUGUUACUAGAAUUGUUAUAGUCUGUUUGAUUUAUACUUGAUACAAUUUCUUUUGGAGGUAAGAAGAUCAAGGCCAUGAAGGAAGAUAGGUGUACAUAAAUUAUUUUAGCACAACAUCAAACUGUUCCACGACAGGAAAACAAAUUAGCAGAAAAAUUGGAUUGGUAGCAGAUGGACACUGUUCCAACUGCCACCUAAAUGGUAUAAUUGAUUAGUCUUAUAGGCUUGUAGCAGAGAGGGAGCAGGCAAGGUACUCCCUUCUUAGCUUUAGUUAUUCAACGAUGCUACACAAAUUUUCAUUCAGAAUUACAGGUAAUUGAAUGAUGCCCCCGGAAUACCAAAUAGAUGCAGAAAAUCUAGUUUCUGCAAUCAGGCAAGAAAAAAACAGUGAACACAAUAUGAAUUACCCGUAUUGUUUGUUAUGCAACCAACAAUGCCAUAAUCCAAUGACAUGUGUCCAUUAGUUCGUCAUACUCAUUAAUCAUUGCCCUAUUGGAAAAUGAGGCUAUGUUCUUCCAGAAACUGCCUUGAAGAGUUCUAGCGCAACAACAUACCAGCCUCCAGGCGAUGCGCAGCCAUCCGAUUGUCCCUGGAAUAGACCUACUCGCGGGGGGUUGCAAAGCGACGCGAAUCCGGGCGCCGCCUGGCCACAGGCGGGGUGCAGUCGCGUGCUCACCAGAUCCGGCUACCGCCGUCCUUCUCCUUACCUUCCACUGCAGGCGUCGGAGGAGGGGGCAAUAGAGGCCUGGCGGAGAGGCAGGGCAGAGGGAUACGACCAAAGGCGGUGGGGAAAGGGUGGUCGACUUCACUAGGGCACUCACGCGUGGCAGCCAUAGGGGCAGCAGAUGAUGUGCGGGUUGCAGAGCGGUAUGAGGCGACGGGGGGGGGGGGGGGGGGGGGGGGGGGGCACGACUGGUAGCGGAGGCCGAGCGGUGCAGGGAGACGACAGCAAGAGGCGUGGGGCGAUGGUGAUGAUGGAUUCUGAUGGACAAGCACGGUUUAGGUUUUUGCGUGGGGGUGGGUGGUGGAUUUGGGGUCCAUGCGGUGGUUCGAUUGUAUAAGAUUGGUGCGGCUGGAUCGAAGGUUAGACUAGGACUUUCUGUAGUAAUUGAGAGCCCAAGGCUCUUAAUACAUAAACUAUAUAUAGGGUUAUAUAUAUUGUUAUUUAAUACAUGUGGUGAGGCCCCACUAAUCUAGGGGCACUACUCGACCCCCGCCAGGGCCGGCGCUGUCGAGGAUGUGAUGCUUGGGGCAGCUCCCCUUCCUGUUUUAGAUAUGACCAAAAACCGUUCCCACAGUUCAUCAAUAAGGAUUGUUAAAAGAGAUUAUCAUUUUGUCAAACUGGUAAGGUUUUCUGCUCUUUGAAAGUCGCAUAGAGGGGGGGUGAAUAGUCAAGUCUGAAAUUUAUAAAGUUUAAACACAACUACAAGCCGAGGUUAGCGUUAGAAAUAUAAACGAGUCCGAAAGAGAUGGCGAAAACAAAUCACAAGCGAAUGAGAGCGGAUGACACGGUGAUUUGUUUUACCGAGGUUCAGUUCUUGCAAACCUACUCCCCGUUGAGGUGGUCACAAAGACCGGGUCUCUUUCAACCCUUUCCCUCUCUCAAACGGUCACUUAGACCGAGUGAGCCUUUCUCUUCAAUCAAAUGGGACACUAAGUCCACUACAAGGACCACCACAACUUGGUGUCUCUUGUUUUGAUUACAAGUGAGUUGAACACAAGAAAGAAGGAAGAAGAAAAACAAUCCAAGCGCAAGAGCUCAAAUGAACACAAAUGUCUCUCUCUCUCUAGUCACUAAUUUGAUUGGAGUGAUUCCGGACUUGGGAGAGGAUUUGAUCUCUUUGAUUGUGUCUUUGAAUGAAGUCUAGAGCUCUUGUAUGUGGUUUGAUGGCUGAAAACUUGGAUGCCAUGAAUGGUGGGUGGUUGGGGGUAUUUAUUGCCCCAACCACCAAAGUGUCCGUUGGUGAGGGCUUGUGUUGCAUGGCGCACCGGACAGUCCGGUGCGCCAGGCACGUCACCCGGCCGUUGGGUUCUGACCGUUGGAGCUUCUGACAGGUGGGCCACCGGACAGUCCGGUGGUGCACCGGACAGUCACUAUUCACUGUCCGGUGCGCCUUCUGGCGCUGCUCUGACUUCUGCGCGCGCAGGCGCGCACUGUUCACUUUUACUGUUCCAUUGCAAACGAUCGUUGGCGCUGUGUAGCCGUUACUCCGCUGGCACACCGGACAGUCCGAUGCUACACCGGACAGUCCGGUGAAUUAUAGAGGAGCGGCUCCCAGAAUUCCCGAAGGUGGCAAGUUCGGAGUUGGGUUCCCUGGUGCACCGGACACUGUCCGGUGGCACACCGGACAGUCCGGUGCGCCAGACCAGGGCAGCCUUCGGGUGUCUUUUGCUCUCUUUAUUUGAACCCUUUUCUUGGUCUUUUUAUUGGUUUGUUGUGAACCUUUGACACCUGUAAAACUUAUAAUCUAGAGCAAACUAGUUAGUACAAUUAUUUGUGUUGGGUAAUUCAACCACCAAAAUCCAUAUAGGAAAAGGUGUAAGCCUAUUUCCCUUUCAAUCUCCCCAUUUUUGGUGAUUGAUGCCAACACAAACCAAAGCAAAUAUAAAAGUGCAGAACUGAACUAGUUUGCAUAAGGUAAGUGCAAAGGUUGCUUGGAAUGAAACCAAUAAUCAUUUCUACUAGAUAUGCAUGGAUGGCUUUCUUCUAAUUUAAAAUUUUGGACCACGCUUGCACCACUUGUUUUGUUUUUGCAAAUUCUUUUGUAGAUUCUUUUCAAAGUCUUUUUGCAAAUAGUCAAAGGUAAAUAAAUAAGAUUUUAAGAAGCAUUUUCAAGAUUUGAAAUUUUCUCCCCCUGUUUCAAAUGCUUUUCAUUUGACUAAACAAAACUCCCCCUUAAUGAAAUCCUCCUCUUAGUGUUCAAGAUGAUUUUAUAUAUUAAUUUUGAAGAGGGUAUACCAAUUUGAAACUAUAUCAAAAAUAAGAUACCAAUUUGAAAUUCUUUAAAAACACUUCUUUAAUACAAAUUUAAAAACUACAAUUUUUUGAAAUUGGUGGUGGUGCGGUCCUUUUGCUUUGGGCUAAUACUUUCUCCCCCUUUGGCAUGAAUCGCCAAAAACGGAUACUUGUGAGUGAAAUAUAAGCCCUAUGGUUUCUCUCCCUUUGGCAAAUAAUAUAUGAGUGAAGAUUAUACCGAAUUGGAGAUUGUUGUGGAGCGACGGCGAAGGAUGAAUAAUUCGAUGGAGUGGAGUGGAAGCCUUGUCUUCGCCGAAGACUCCAUUUCCCCUUUCAAUCUAUGACUUAGCAUAACAUGCACUUGAAGAACAGAUUAGUAAUAGUACAUGAAAGAGAUGAUCAAAGGUAUAUAAAUGAGCUAUGUGUGCAAAACAUCAAUCAAAAUUCCUAGAAUCAAGAAUAUUUAGCUCAUGCCUAAGUUUGGUAAAAGUUUUCUCAUCUAGUGGUUUGGUAAAGAUAUCGGCUAAUUGUUCUUUAGUGUUAAUAUAAGCAAUCUCGAUAUCCCCCCUUUGUUGGUGAUCCCUCAAAAAGUGAUACCGAAUGGCUAUGUGUUUAGUGCGACUGUGCUCAACGGGAUUAUCCGCCAUGUGGAUUGCACUCUCAUUAUCACAUAGAAGAGGAACUUUGGUCAAUUUGUAACCAUAGUCCCUAAGGGUUUGCCUCAUCCAAAGCAAUUGCACGCAACAGUGACCUGCGGCAAUGUACUCGACUUCGGCGGUCGAAAGAGCGACAGAAUUUUGCUUCUUUGAAGCCCUAGACACCAGAGAUCUUCCCAAGAACUGGCAAGUCCCUGAUGUGCUCUUUCUAUCAAUUUUAUACCUUGCCCAAUCAGCAUCUGAAUAUCCAAUUAAAUCAAAAGUGGAUCCCCUGGGUUACCAAAGGCCAAACUUAGGAGUAUAAACUAAAUAUCUCAAGAUUCGUUUUACGGCCCUAAGGUGAACUUCCUUAGGAUCGGCUUGGAAUCUUGCACACAUGCAUACAGAAAGCAUAAUAUCCGGUCGAGAUGCACAUAAAUAAAGUAAAGGACCUAUCAUCGACCGGUAUACCUUUUGAUCUACGGAUUUACCUCCCAUGUCGAGGUCGAGAUGCCCAUUAGUUCCCAAGGGUGUCUUGAUGGGCUUGGCAUCCUUCAUCCCAAACUUGGUGAGUAUGUCUUGAAUGUACUUUGUUUGGCUAAUGAAGGUGCCCUCUUGGAGUUGCUUUACUUGAAAUCCUAAGAAAUACUUCAGCUCCCCCAUCAUAGACAUCUCGAAUUUUUGAAUCAUGAUCCUACUAAAUUCUUCAUAAGUAGAUUUGUUAGUAGACCCAAAUAUGAUAUCAUCAACAUAAAUUUGGCAUACAAACAAAUCAUUUGCAAUAGUUUUAGUGAAUAGAGUAGGAUCGGCUUUUCUGACUUUGAAGUCAUUAGAAAUGAGAAAAUCUCUUAGGCAUUCAUACCAUGCUCUUGGGGCUUGCUUGAGCCCAUAAAGCGCCUUAGAGAGUUUGUAGACGUGAUUAGGGUACUCACUAUCUUCAAAGCCGGGAGGUUGCUCAACAUAGGCCUCCUCCUUGAUUGGUCCAUUGAGGAAGGCACUUUUCACGUCCAUUUGAUAAAGCUUAAAGCCAUGGUAAGUAGCAUAGGCAAGUAAAAUGCGAAUUGACUCAAGCUAGCUACGGGUGCAUAGGUUUCACCGAAAUCCAAACCUUCGACUUGUGAAUAUCCUUUGGCCACAAGUCGGGCUUUGUUCCUUGUCACCACACCAUGCUCAUCUUGCUUGUUGCGGAAGACCCACUUGGUUCCUACAACAUUUUGAUUAGGACGUGGAACUAAAUGCCAUACCUCAUUCAUCGUGAAGUUGUUGAGUUCCUCUUGCAUUGCCAACACCUAAUCCGAAUCCCUUAAUGCGUCUUAUACCCUGUAUGGCUCAAUAGAAGACACAAAGGAGUAAUGUUCACAAAAAUGAGCAACACGAGAUCAAGUGGUUACCCCCUUAUGAAUAUCGCCGAGGAUGGAGUUCACGGGGUGAUCUCGUUGUAUUUGCUUGGUGGACUCUUGGGUGUGGCGGUCUUGGACCCUCAUCAUCUUCUUUGUCUUGAUCAUUAGCAUCUCCCCCUUCAUUAUUGCCCUCCUCUUGAGGUGGCUCAUCUUCUUGAUCUUCAUUUUCAUCCUCUUGAGCUUGAUCCUCAUCUUGGGUUGGUGGAGAUGCUUGUAUGGAGGAAGAUGGUUGAUCUUGUGCUUGUGGAGGCUCUUCGAAUUCCUUAGGACACACAUCUCCAAUGGACAUGUUCCUUAGCGCGACGCACGGAGCCUCUUCAUCAUCUAGCUCAUCAAGAUCAACUUGCUCUAAUUGAGAGCCGUUAGUCUCAUCAAACACAAUGUCACAAGAAACUUCAACUAGUCCAGUGGACUUGUUAAAGACUCUAUAUGCCCUUGUGUUUGAAUCAUAUCCUAGUAAAAAGCCUUCUACAGCCUUAGGAGCAAAUUUAGAUUUUCUACCUCUUUUAACAAGAAUAAAGCAUUUGCUACCAAAGACUCUAAAAUAUGAAACAUUGGGCUUUUUACCGGUUAGGAGUUCAUAAGAUGUCUUCUUGAGGAUUCUGUGAAGAUAGAGGUGGUUGAUGGCGUAGCAAGCGGUGUUGAUUGCUUCCGCCCAAAACCGGUCCGAAGUCUUGUACUCAUCAAGCAUGGUCCUCGCCAUGUCAAGUAGAGUUCUAUUCUUCCUCUCCACUACACCAUUUUGUUGUGGCGUGUAGGGAGAAGAGAACUCAUGCUUGAUGCCCUCAUCCUCAAGAAAGCCUUCAAUUUGAGAGUUCUUGAACUCCGUCCCGUUGUCGCUUCUAAUCUUUUUGAUCCUUAAGCCGAACUCAUUUUGAGACCAUCUCAAGAACCCCUUCAAUGUCUCUUGGGUUUGUGAUUUUUCCUGCAAAAAGAACAUCAAAGUGAAGCGAGAAUAAUCAUCCACAAUCACAAGACAAUACUUACUCCCGCCGAUGCUUAUGUAAGCGAUCGGGCCGGAUAGAUCCAUGUGGAGUAACUCAAGCGGCCUGUCGGUCGUCAUGAUGUUCUUGUGUGGAUGAUGAACACCAACUUGCUUCCCUGCCUGACAUGCGCUACAAACCCUAUCUUUCUCAAAAUGAACAUUGGUUAGUCCCAAAAUGUGCUCUCUCUUUAGAAACUUAUGAAGAUUCUUCAUCCCAACAUGGGCUAGUCGGCGGUGCCAGAGCCAACCCAUGUUAGUCUUAGCAAUUAAGCAAGUGUUGAGUUCAGCUCUAUUAAAAUCAACUAAGUAUAGCUGACCCUCUAACACUCCCUUAAAUGCUACUGAAUCAUCACUUCUUUUAAAGACAGUAACACCUAAAUCUGUAAAAAGACAGUUGUAGCCCAUUUUACACAAUUGAGAAAUAGAAAGCAAAUUGUAAUCUAAAAAAUAUACAAGAAAAACAUUGGAAAUAGAAUGGUCAGGUGAUAUUGCAAUUUUACCAAGUCCUUUGACCAAACCUUGAUUUCCAUCCCCGAAUGUGAUAGCUCGUUGGGGAUCUUGGUUUUUCUCAUAGGAGGAGAACAUCCUUUUCUCCCCUGUCAUGUGGUUUGUGCAUCCGCUAUCGAUGAUCCAACUUGAGCCCCCGGAUGCAUAAACCUACAAAACAAAUUUAGGCCUUGUUCUUAGGUACCCAAACGGUCUUGGGUACUUUGACAUUAGUGAGAGCACCUAGAGGGGGGGGGGGGUGAAUAGGUGAUCCUCUAAAACUUGAAAACUUAAGCCACAAAAACUUGGUUAAGCGUUAGCACAGUAAAUGCCAAGUGGCUAGAGAGGAGUCUCAAUAAAACACAAUAACCACAAGAAAUCAAUCACAGAGAUGGCACGAUGGUUAUCCCGUGGUUCGGCCAAGACCAACGCUUGCCUACUCCACGUUGUGGCGUCCCAACGGACGAGGGUUACAAUCAACCCCUCUCAAGCGGUCCAAAGACCCACUUGAAUACCACGGUGUUUUGCUUGCUUUUCUCAAUCCCGUUUGCGAGGAAUCUCCACAACUUGGAGCCUCUCGCCCUUACCUUGAAGUUCACAAAGAAGCACAGAGCAAGGGAGGAUUAGCAACGCACACAAGACACAAGAAUCAGAGUGUCAACAUGCACACAAGUCACAACAAGAGCUCGCAACACAACUCAAUGAGUUCACAACUCCACUAGAGCUCUAUAUGCUAUCACAAUGAAACAAAUGCGCGGAAUCGAGGUCUUGGUGCUUAGGAAUGUUGCAGGAAUGCUUGGUGUACUCCUCCAUGCGCCUAGGGGUCCCUUUUAUAGCCCCAAGGCAGCUAGGAGCCGUUGAGAGCAUUCUAGGAAGGCUGAUCUUGCCUUCUGUCGACUGGCGCACCGGACAGUCUGGUGCACACCGGACACUGUCCGGUGCCCGAUUUCCUUCCAAAAAUGGCACAGUCGACCGUUGGUAGCCUGAGAGCCGUUGGCGCACCGGACAUGUCCGGUGCACACCGGACAGUCCGGUGCCUCCUUCUAGCCGUUGGCUCGGCCACGUGUCCCGCGCAGAUUGCGCGGCCGACCGUUGGCCCGGCCGACCGUUGGCUCACCGGACAGUCCGGUGCACACCGGACAGUCCGGUGAAUUAUAGUCGUACGUCGCCGGUGAAUUCCCGAGAGCGGCCACUUCGCUCGAGCCAGCCUGGCGCACCGGACACUGUCCGGUGCACCACCGGACAGUCCGGUGCACCCAGACUCAGCAGAGUCUUGGCUGCUCAAGCCAAGACAUUUUCAAUUGGUUUUUUCAUGUUUCCAGCACUUAGACACAAUACAUUAGUCCAUAAAACAAUGUACUAAGUCUGAGAAACAUACCUUUAUCCUUGAUUUGUACUUUGUCCACCUUUUUACACUUAGGCACUUGUUGGGCACUAAAUCACCAAAAUACUUAGAAAUGGCCCAAGGGCACAUUUCCCUUUCAAUCUCCCCCUUUUUGGUGAUUUAUGCCAACACAACAUAAAGCAAGUAGAACAAGUACAAAAUCAAUUUAAAUAAGAACCCAAAAUUGUUUUGAUUCAAUUUUGACAUAUAUGGAUCAUCCUUUGCCACCACUUGGUUUGUUUUUGCAAAUCAAACUCAAAUUCCUAUCUCUAAGUCAAAUCCACUUGUAGAGACAUAAAGAGAGGUGAUAGUCGCCUAGAGGGGGGGUGAAUAGGGCGAAACUGAAAUUUACAAAUAUAAACACAACUACAAGCCGGGUUAGCGUUAGAAAUAUAAACGAGUCCGAGAGAGAGGGCGCAAAACAAAUCCCAAGCGAAUAAGCAAGUGAGACACAGAGAUUUGUUUUACCGAGGUUCGGUUCUUGCAAACCUACUCCCCGUUGAGGAGGCCACAAAGGCCGGGUCUCUUUCAACCCUUCCCUCUCUCAAACGGUCCCUCGGACCGAGUGAGCUUCUCUUCUCAAAUCAAAGCCGGGAACAAAACUUCCCCGCAAGGGCCACCACACAAUUGGUGCCUCUUGCCUUGAUUACAAUGGAGUUGUGAUCUCAAGAAUAAGUGAGAAAGAAAAGAAGCAAUCCAAGCGCAAGAGCUCAAAUGAACACGGCAAAUCACUCUCACUCGUCACUAGGGCUUUGUGUGGAAUUGGAGAGGAUUUGAUCUCUUUAGUGUGUCUAGAAUUGAAUGCUAGAGCUCUUGUAGUAGUUGAGAAGUGGAAAACUUGGAUGCAAUGAAUGGUGGGGUGGUUGGGGUAUUUAUAGCCCCAACCACCAAAUGUGGCCGUUGGGAGGCUGUCUGCUUGAUGGCGCACCGGACAGUCCGGUGCACACCGGACAGUCCGGUGCCCCCUACCACGUCAUCACUGCCGUUGGAUUCUGACCGUUGGAGCUUCUGACUUGUGGGCCCGCCUGGGUGUCCGGUGCACACCGGACAGGUACUGUUGGCUGUCCGGUGUGCCAGCAUGGGCGAUUCUGACUUCUGCGCGCGCAGAGGGCGCAUUAAAUGCGCGACAGAGAGCCGUUGGCGCGGAGAUGACCGUUGCUUCGGAGACGCACCGGACAGUCCGGUGCACACCGGACAGUCCGGUGAAUUUUAGCGGACUAGCCGUUGGCGUUUCCCGAAGCUGGCGAGUUCCUGAGGCCGCUCCUCCUUGGCGCACCGGACACUGUCCGGUGUACACCGGACAGUCCGGUGAAUUAUAGCGCGAGUGCCUCCGGAAAUUCCCGAAGGUGGCAAGUUUGAGUCUGAGUCCCCUGGUGCACCGGACAGGUACUGUUCACUGUCCGGUGGCACACCGGACAGUCCGGUGCGCCAGACCAGGGGUGCCUUCGGUUGCCCCUUUGCUCCUUUGUUGAAUCCAAAACUUGGUCUUUUUAUUGGCUGAGUGUGAACCUUUUACACUUGUAUAAACUAUACACUUGGGCAAACUAGUUAGUCCAAAGAUUUGUGUUGGGCAAUUCAAUCACCAAAAAUAUUUAGGACUUAGGUGUAAGCCUAAUUCCCUUUCAAUCUCCCCCUUUUUGGUGAUUGAUGCCAACACAAACCAAAGCAAAUAUAGAAGUGCAUAAUUGAACUAGUUUGCAUAAUGUAAGUGUAAAGGUUGCUUAGAAUUGAGCCAAUAUAACUACUUACAAGAUAUGCAUGGAAUGUUUCUUUCUAAUUUAACAUUUUGGACCACGUUUGCACCACAUGUUUUGUUUUUGCAAAUUCUUUUUGUAAAUCUAUUUCAAAGAUCUUUUGCAAAUAGUCAAAGGUAAAUGAAUAAGAGUUUGCAAAGCAUUUUCAAGAUUUGAAAUUUUCUCCCCCUGUUUCAAAUGCUUUUACUUUGACUAAACAAAAUUCCCCCUAAAAGAGAUCCACCUCUUAGUGUUCAAGAGGGUUUUGAUAUACCAUUUUUGAAAUACUACUUUCUCCCCCUUUUUGAACACAAUAGGAUACCAAAUGAUAAAUACUUUUGGAAAGCACUAAGUUUUUGAAUUUGGUGGUGGUGGUGCGGUCCUUUUGCUUUGGGCUCAUUUCUCCCCCUUUUUGGCAUGAAUCGCCAAAAACGGAAUCAUUAGAGCCCUCGAAGUAAUUUCUUCCCCUUUGGUCAUAAGUAAAUGAGUUAAGAUCAUACCAAAGACGAAAUCCGGUCCUUUUGCUUUGGGCUUUUACUUUCUCCCCCAAAGACAAGGUCCUUUUCUUGGAGCGAUGGCGAAGGAUGAGUUACGGAGUGGAAGCCUUUGUCUUCGCCGAAGACUCCAAUUCUCUUUCAAUAUACCUGUGACUUGGUUUGAAAUAGACUUGAAAACACAUUAGUCAUAGCAUAUAAAAGAGAUAUGAUCAAAGGUAUUCAAAUGAGCUAUGUGUGCAAGCUAGCAAAAGAAGUUUCUAGAAUCAAGAAUAUUGAGCUCAUGCCUAAGUCUGGUAAAAGAUUGUUCAUCAAGUGGCUUGGUAAAGAUAUCGGCUAAUUGAUCUUUAGUAUUAAUGUAAGAAAUCUCAAUAUCCCCCUUUUGUUGGUGAUCCCUAAGAAAAUGAUACCGAAUGGCUAUGUGCUUAGUGCGGUUGUGCUCGACGGGAUUGUCGGCCAUUUUGAUUGCACUUUCAUUAUCACAUAGCAAAGGGACUUUGGUUAAUUUGUAACCGUAGUCCCGCAGGGUUUGCCUCAUCCAAAGCAAUUGCGCGCAACAAUGACCUGCGGCAAUGUACUCGGCUUCGGCGGUGGAAAGAGCGACCGAAUUUUGCUUCUUUGAAGCCCAAGACACCAAGGAUCUUCCCAAGAACUGACAAGUCCCCGAUGUGCUCUUCCUAUUAAUUUUGCACCCCGCCCAAUCGGCAUCCGAAUAACCAAUCAAAUCAAACGUGGAUCCCCGAGGGUACCAAAGCCCAAACUUAGGUGUGUAAGCCAAAUAUCUCAAGAUUCGUUUUACGGCCGUAAGGUGGGAUUCCUUAGGGUCGGAUUGGAAUCUUGCACACAUGCAAACGGAAAGCAUAAUGUCCGGUCGAGAUGCACAUAAAUAAAGCAAUGAACCAAUCAUCGACCGGUAUACCUUUUGAUCCACGGACUUACCUCCCGUGUCGAGGUCGAGAUGCCCAUUAGUUCCCAUGGGUGUCUUGAUGGGUUUGGCAUCCUUCAUCCCAAACUUGGUUAGAAUGUCUUGAGUGUACUUUGUUUGGCUAAUGAAGGUGCCCUCUUGGAGUUGCUUGACUUGGAAUCCUAGAAAAUACUUCAACUCCCCCAUCAUCGACAUCUCGAAUUUCUGUGUCAUGAUCCUACUAAACUCUUCACAUGUAGACUCGUUAGUAGACCCAAAUAUAAUAUCAUCAACAUAAAUUUGGCAUACAAACAGGUCAUUUUCAAGAGUUUUAGUAAAGAGUGUAGGAUCGGCCUUGCCGACUUUGAAGCCAUUAGCAAUAAGGAAAUCUCUUAGGCAUUCAUACCAUGCUCUUGGAGCUUGCUUGAGCCCAUAAAGCGCCUUAGAGAGCCUAUAAACAUGGUUAGGAUACUCACUGUCUUCAAAGCCGGGAGGUUGCUCAACAUAGACCUCUUCCUUGAUUGGUCCAUUGAGGAAGGCACUUUUCACGUCCAUUUGAUAAAGCUUAAAGCCAUGGUAAGUAGCAUAGGCCAAUAAUAUGCGAAUUGACUCAAGCCUAGCUACGGGUGCAUAGGUUUCACCGAAAUCCAAACCUUCGACUUGGGAGUAUCCCUUGGCCACAAGUCGUGCUUUGUUCCUUGUCACCACACCAUGCUCAUCUUGCUUGUUGCGGAAGACCCAUUUGGUUCCUACAACAUUUUGGUUAGGACGUGGAACCAAAUGCCAUACCUCAUUUCUAGUGAAGUUGUUGAGCUCCUCUUGCAUCGCCAUCACCCAAUCCGAAUCUUGAAGUGCUUCCUCUACCCUGUGUGGCUCAAUAGAGGAAACAAAAGAGUAAUGUUCACAAAAAUGAGCAACACGAGAUCGAGUGGUUACCCCCUUAUGAAUGUCGCCGAGGAUGGUGUCGACAGGGUGAUCUCGUUGUAUUGCUUGGUGGACUCUUGGGUGUGGCGGUCUUGGUUCUUCCUCAUCCUCAUCUUCUUGAUUUUGCCCUUCAUCAACUUGAGCCUCAUCCUCAUUUUGAGUUGGUGGAGAUGCUUGCAUGGAGGAGGAUGGUUGAUCUUGUGCAUUUGGAGGCUCUUCGGAUUCCUUAGGACACACAUCCCCAAUGGACAUGUUCCUUAGCGCGAUGCAUGGAGCCUCUUCAUUACCUAUCUCAUCAAGAUCAACUUGCUCUAUUUGAGAGCCGUUAGUUUCAUCAAACACAACGUCACAUGAGACUUCAACUAGUCCAGUGGACUUGUUAAAGACCCUAUAUGCCCUUGUGUUUGAGUCAUAACCAAGUAAAAAGCCUUCUACAGUUUUAGGAGCAAAUUUAGAUUUUCUACCUCUUUUAACAAGAAUAAAGCAUUUGCUACCAAAAACUCUAAAAUAUGAAAUGUUGGGCUUUUUACCGGUUAGGAGUUCAUAUGAUGUCUUCUUGAGGAUUCGGUGAAGAUAUAACCGGUUGAUAGCGUAGCAGGCGGUGUUGACCGCUUCGGCCCAAAACCGGUCCGGUGUCUUGUACUCAUCAAGCAUGGUUCUUGCCAUGUCCAAUAGAGUUCGAUUCUUCCUCUCCACUACACCAUUUUGUUGUGGCGUGUAGGGAGAGGAGAACUCAUGCUUGAUGCCCUCCUCCUCAAGGAAGCCUUCAAUUUGAGAGUUCUUGAACUCCGUCCCGUUGUCGCUUCUUAUUUUCUUGAUCCUUAAGCCGAACUCAUUUUGAGCUCGUCUCAAGAAUCCCUUUAAGGUCUCUUGGGUUUGAGAUUUUUCCUGUAAAAAGAAUACCCAAGUGAAGCGAGAAUAAUCAUCCACUAUUACAAGACAAUACUUACUCCCGCCGAUGCUUAUGUAAGCAAUCGGGCCGAAUAGAUCCAUGUGGAGUAGCUCAAGCGGCCUGUCGGUCGUCAUGAUGUUCUUGUGUGGAUGAUGAACUCCAACUUGCUUCCCUGCCUGGCAUGCGCUACAAAUCCUGUCUUUCUCAAAAUGAACAUUCGUUAAUCCUAAAAUGUGCUCUCCCUUUAGAAGCUUAUGAAGAUUCUUCAUUCCAACAUGGGCUAGUUGGCGGUGCCAGAGCCAACCCAUGUUAGUUUUAGCAAUUAAGCAAGUGUUGAGUUCAGCUCUAUCAAAAUCUACCAGGUAUAGCUGACCCUCUAACACUCCCUUAAAUGCUAUUGAAUCAUCACUUCUUCUAAAGACAGUGACACCUACAUCAGUAAAAAGACAGUUGUAGCCCAUUUGACAUAAUUGUGAAACAGAAAGCAAGUUGUAAUCUAAAGAAUCUACAAGAAAAACAUUGGAAAUAGAAUGGUCAGGAGAUAUAGCAAUUUUACCCAAUCCUUUGACCAAACCUUGAUUUCCAUCCCCGAAUGUGAUAGCUCGUUGGGGAUCUUGGUUUUUCUCAUAUGAGGAGAACAUCCUUUUCUCCCCUGUCAUGUGGUUUGUGCACCCGCUGUCGAGUAUCCAACUUGAGCCCCCGGAUGCAUAAACCUACAAAACAAUUUUAGUUCUUGACUUUAGGUACCCAAACGGUUUUGGGUCCUUUGGCAUUAGAAACAAGAACUUUGGGUACCCAAACACAAGUCUUGGAGCCCUUGUGUUUGCCCCCAACAAACUUGGCAACUACUUUGCCGGAUUUGUUAGUAAGCACAUAAGAAGCAUCAAAAGUUUUAAAUGAAAUGGCAUGAUCAUUUGAUGCAUUAGGAGUUUUCUUUCUAGGCAACUUGGCACGGGUUGGUUGCCUAGAGCUAGAUGUCUCACCCUUAUACAUAAAAGCAUGAUUAGGGCCAGAGUGAGACUUCCUAGAAUGAAUUUUCCUAAUUUUGCUCUCGGGAUAACCGGCAGGGUACAAAAUGUAGCCCUCGUUAUCCUGAGGCAUGGGAGCCUUGCCCUUAACAAAGUUAGACAAGUUCUUGGGAGGGGCAUUAAGUUUGACAUUGUCUCCCCUUUGGAAGCCAAUGCCAUCCUUGAUGCCAGGGCGUCUCCCAUUAUAGAGCAUACUUCUAGCAAAUUUAAAUUUUUCAUUUUCUAAGUUAUGCUUGGCAAUUUUAGCAUCUAGUUUUGCUAUAUGAUCAUUUUGUUGUUUAAUUAAAGCCAUAUGAUCAUGAAUAGCAUCAAUAUCAACAUUUCUACAUCUAGUACAAAUAGUGACAUGCUCAAUGGUAGAUGUAGAUGGUUUGCAAGAAUUAAGUUCAACAAUCUUAGCACGAAGUAUAUCAUUCUUAUCUCUAAGAUCGGCAAUUGUAACUUUGCAAACAUCAAAAUCUUUAGCCUUAGCAAUCAAAUUUUCAUUCUCUAAUCUAAGGCCAGCAAGAGAAAUGUUUAAUUCUUCAAUCCUAGCAAGCAAAUCAUCAUUAUUAACUCUAGGAUUGGGAAUUGAAACAUUACAAACAUGAGAAUCAACCUUAGCACUUAAAAUAGCAUUUUCAUUUCUAAGGUUGUCAAUCAUCUCACGACAAGUGCUUAGCUCACUAGAUAAUUUUUCACAUUUCUCAAUUUCAAGAGCAUAAGCCUUUUUAACCUUAACAUGUUUUUUGUUUUCUUUAAUUAGACAAUCCUCUUGGGAAUCCAAAAGGUCAUCCUUUUCAUGAAUAGCACUAACCAAUUCAUUCAAUUUUUCCUUUUGAGCUAUGUUAAGGUUGGCAAAAAGGGAACGCAAAUUUUCUUCCUCAUCACUAGCAUUGUCAUCACUAGAGGAUUCAUAUUUAGUGGAGGAUUUAGAUUUAACCUUCUUUUUGCCGUCCUUUGCCAUGAGGCACUUGUGGCCGACGUUGGGGAAGAGGAGUCCCUUGGUGACGACGAUGUUGGCGGCGUCCUCGUCGUCGGAGGAGUCGCUUGAGCUCUCGUCGGAAUCCCAUUCCCGACAAACAUGGGCAUCGCCGCCCUUCUUCUUGUAGUACCUCUUCUUCUCCUUUCUUCUCCCCUUCUUGUCGUCGCCUCGGUCACUGUCACUAGAUAUAGGACAUUUAGCAAUAAAAUGACCGGGCUUACCACAUUUGUAGCAAACCUUCUUGGAGCGGGACUUGUAGUCUUUCCCCCUCCUUUGCUUGAGGAUUUGGCGGAAGCUCUUGAUGACGAGCGCCAUUUCCUCAUUGUCAAGCUUGGAGGCGUCUAUGGGUUGUCGACUUGGUGUAGACUCCUCCUUCUUCUCCUCCGUUGCCUUGAAUGCAACGGGUUGAGCUUCGGAUGUGGUGGCAUCAUCAAGCUCGUUGAUCUUCCUCGAGCCUUCGAUCAUGCACUCAAAACUUACAAAAUUCCCGAUAACUUCCUCGGGGGUCAUUUUAGUAUAUCUAGGAUUACCACGAAUUAAUUGAACUUGAGUAGGGUUAAGGAAAAUAAGUGAUCUUAGAAUAACCUUAACCACCUCGUGGUCAUCCCACUUUACGCUCCCGAGGUUGCGCGCUUGGUUCACCAAGGUCUUGAGCCGAUUGUACAUGUGUUGUGGCUCCUCCCCUUUGCGAAGCCGGAACCGACCGAGCUCCCCCUCAAUCGUUUCCCGCUUGGUGAUCUUGGUGAGCUCAUCACCUUCAUGCGCGGUCUUGAGUAAAUCCCAAAUCUCCUUUGCGUUCUUCAACCCUUGAACUUUGUUAUACUCCUCUUUACUCAAAGAGGCUAGGAGUAUUGUUGUUGCUUGAGAGUUGAAGUGCUCGAUUUGGGCCACCUCAUCCUCAUCAUAGUUCUCAUCCCCUACGGAUGGUACCUGCGCACCAAACUCAACAACUUCCCAUAUGCUUUUGUGGAGCGAGGUUAGAUGAAAUCGCAUUAAAUCGCUCCACCUAGCGUAAUCUUCACCAUCAAAAGUUGGUGGUUUGCCUAAUGGGACGGAAAGUAAAGGUGUAUGUUUGGAAAUGCGAGGGUAGCGUAGGGGGAUCUUACUAUACUUCUUGCGCUCUUGGCGCUUAGAAGUGACGGAGGGCGCAUCGGAGUCGGAGGUAGAAGUUGAUGAAGUGUCGGUCUCGUAGUAGACCACCUUCCUCAUCCUCUUAUGCUUGUCGCCUUUCCGAUGCGGCUUGUGGGAAGAAGAUUUUUCCUUCUUCUCUUGGUGGUGAGAAGAGGAAGCCUUUUUCUCCUUCCGUUUGGAGGAGUCCUUCUUCUUCUCCUUCUUCUUGGUGCGGGACUCUUCCGAUGAAGUGCUCCCGUGGCUUGUAGUGGGCUUUUCGCCGGUCUCCAUCUCCUUCUUGGCGUGAUCUCCCGACAUCACUUCGAGCGGUUAGGCUCUAAUGAAGCACCGGGCUCCGAUACCAAUUGAUAGUCGCCUAGAGGGGGGGGUGAAUAGGGCGAAACUGAAAUUUACAAAUAUAAACACAACUACAAGCCGGGUUAGCGUUAGAAAUAUAAACGAGUCCGAGAGAGAGGGCGCAAAACAAAUCCCAAGCGAAUAAGCAAGUGAGACACGGAGAUUUGUUUUACCGAGGUUCGGUUCUUGCAAACCUACUCCCCGUUGAGGAGGCCACAAAGGCCGUGUCUCUUUCAACCCUUCCCUCUCUCAAACGGUCCCUCGGACCGAGUGAGCUUCUCUUCUCAAAUCAAAGCCGGGAACAAAACUUCCCCGCAAGGGCCACCACACAAUUGGUGCCUCUUGCCUUGAUUACAAUGGAGUUGUGAUCUCAAGAAUAAGUGAGAAAGAAAAGAAGCAAUCCAAGCGCAAGAGCUCAAAUGAACACGGCAAAUCACUCUCACUCGUCACUAGGGCUUUGUGUGGAAUUGGAGAGGAUUUGAUCUCUUUAGUGUGUCUAGAAUUGAAUGCUAGAGCUCUUGUAGUAGUUGAGAAGUGGAAAACUUGGAUGCAAUGAAUGGUGGGGUGGUUGGGGUAUUUAUAGCCCCAACCACCAAAUGUGGCCGUUGGGAGGCUGUCUGCUUGAUGGCGCACCGGACAGUCCGGUGCACACCGGACAGUCCGGUGCACACCGGACAGUCCGGUGCCCCCUGCCACGUCAUCACUGCCGUUGGAUUCUGACCGUUGGAGCUUCUGACUUGUGGGCCCGCCUGGGUGUCCGGUGCACACCGGACAGGUACUGUUGGCUGUCCGGUGUGCCAGCAUGGGCGAUUCUGACUUCUGCGCGCGCAGAGGGCGCAUUAAAUGCGCGGCAGAGAGCCGUUGGCGCGGAGAUGACCGUUGCUUCGGAGACGCACCGGACAGUCCGGUGCACACCGGACAGUCCGGUGAAUUUUAGCGGACUAGCCGUUGGCGUUUCCCGAAGCUGGCGAGUUCCUGAGGCCGCUCCUCCUUGGCGCACCGGACACUGUCCGGUGUACACCGGACAGUCCGGUGAAUUAUAGCGCGAGUGCCUCCGGAAAUUCCCGAAGGUGGCAAGUUUGAGUCUGAGUCCCCUGGUGCACCGGACAGGUACUGUUCACUGUCCGGUGGCACACCGGACAGUCUGGUGCGCCAGACCAGGGGUGCCUUCGGUUGCCCCUUUGCUCCUUUGUUGAAUCCAAAACUUGGUCUUUUUAUUGGCUGAGUGUGAACCUUUUACACCUGUAUAAACUAUACACUUGGGCAAACUAGUUAGUCCAAAGAUUUGUGUUGGGCAAUUCAAUCACCAAAAAUAUUUAGGACUUAGGUGUAAGCCUAAUUCCCUUUCAAGAGGUAUUCCAAAAAAAAUUUGAUCAAGGAUUUCAAAAACUCCCCCUUUUUCCCAUAAUCAACACUUCUCCCCACAAGAGGCCAACUUUUGACAUACGAGACAAUAAAAGAGUUUUGACAAACCAAAAGCUCUAAUCUACUAUUUUCAAAAUUUCUCAAGUGGUAGCUGAUCCAUCUAUUGCUUUGGCCUUUAUUUCCCCCCCUUUGGCAUCAAGCACCAAAACGGGAUCAAUCUUGGCCCUUAAACCCCAUUGCCUCACCAAAAUCUUCAAAUAAGAACACAAAGGCAAUAAGAGUACAUGAGAUGAACUUGGAAUAAGUUACCCUCUCAUCGGAGUGCAUGUCUUUCAUGGUCCCAAUCCACCUUUUCCCUUUCAAACCUCCUUUGAGACUAAAUCAAGCAAACUCAAGCAAACGGUUAGUCUCAAAGGGUCAAGUUGUAGCACAGCUCCCCCUAAAUAAGUGCAUCACUUGCAAAAAGGACUUGUGAUGGUCCAGGGAGUGUUUGUACAACUUGAGCACCACAAGUAAGCAACAAAAUGCAUAAGGAACAUGAUCAAAGGCAUAAAUACAUGUAUGCUAUAAAUCAAUCCAAGUUCCGCGAAUCUAGGACAUUUAGCUCACUUCGCAGCCUGCAAAAGGUCUUUUCAUCUAAAGGCUUAGUGAAGAUAUCAGCUAGCUGGUUCUCGGUGCUAACAUGAAACACUUCGAUAUCUCCCUUUUGCUGGUGGUCUCUCAAAAAGUGAUGCCGGAUGUCAAUGUGCUUUGUGCAGCUGUGCUCAACAGGAUUUUCUGCUAUUCGGAUAGCACUCUCAUUGUCACAUAGGAGUGGGACUUUGCUCAGAUUGUAGCCAAAGUCCCGGAGGGUUUGCCUCAUCCAAAGUAGUUGCGCACAACACUGUCCUGCGGCAACGUACUCGGCCUCAGCGGUGGAUAGGGCAACAGAAGUUUGUUUCUUAGAGUUCCACGACACCAGGGACCUUCCUAAGAAUUGGCACGUCCCCGAUGUACUCUUCCUAUCGACCUUACAUCCAGCAUAGUCGGAAUCUGAGUAUCCAAUCAAGUCAAAGUUAGACCCAUUUGGAUACCAGAUCCCGAAGCAAGGCGUAGCGACUAAAUAUCGAAGAAUUCGCUUCACAGCCACUAAGUGACACUCCUUAGGAUCGGAUUGAAAUCUAGCACACAUGCAUACGCUAAGCAUAAUAUCCGGUCUACUAGCACAUAAAUAAAGCAAAGAACCUAUCAUGGACCAGUAUGCUUUUUGAUCAACGGACUUACCUCCUUUGUUGAGGUCGGUGUGUCCGUCAGUUCCCAUCGGCGUCUUUGCGGGCUUGGCAUCCUUCAUCCCAAACCGCUUUAGCAAGUCUUGCGUGUACUUCGUUUGGGAGAUGAAAGUGCCGUCCUUGAGUUGCUUCACUUGGAACCCAAGGAAGUAGUUCAACUCGCCCAUCAUCGACAUCUCGAAUUUCUGUCUCAUCACCCUGCUAAACUCUUCACAAGACUUUUGGUUAGUAGAACCAAAUAUUAUGUCAUCGACAUAAAUUUGGCACACAAAAAGAUCGCCAUCACAAGUCUUAGUGAAAAGAGUUGGAUCGGCUUUCCCAACUUUGAAAGCAUAGCAAUUAAAAAGUCUCUAAGGCAUUCAUACCAUGCUCUUGGGGCUUGCUUAAGUCCAUAGAGCGCCUUAGAGAGCUUACACACGUGGUCGGGGUACCGUUCAUCCUCGAAGCCAGGGGGUUGCUCUACAUACACCUCCUCCUUGAUCGGCCCGUUGAGGAAAGCGCUCUUCACAUCCAUUUGGUACAACCUGAAAGAAUGGUGAGCGGCAUAUGCUAGCAAAAUACGAAUUGAUUCUAGCCUAGCCACAGGAGCAAAAGUCUCCUCAAAGUCCAAAUCUGUGACUUGGGCAUAACCUUUUGCCACAAGUCGAGCCUUGUUCCUUGUCACCACCCCGUGCUCAUCCUGUUUGUUGCGGAACACCCACUUGGUUCCCACAACAUUUUGCUUGGGACGAGGCACCAGUGUCCAAACUUCAUUGCGCUUGAAAUUGUUGAGUUCCUCCUGCAUGGCCAACACCCAGUCCGGAUCUAGCAAGGCCUCUUCUACCCUGAAAGGCUCAAUAGAAGAGACAAAAGAGUAAUGCUCACAAAAAUUAACUAAUCUUGAACGAGUAGUUACUCCCUUGCUAAUAUCACCCAAUAUUUGGUCGACGGGAUGAUCCCUUUGGAUCGUCGCUCGAACUUGGGUUGGAGGUGCCUGAGGUGCUUCUUCCUCUUCAACUUGAUCAUCCUGUGCUCCCCCUUGAUCAUGCGCCUCCACUUGAGGUACCUGUUCGUCAUCUUGGGUUGGGGGAUGCACCAUAGUUGAGGAAGACGGUUGAUCUUGCUCCAAUUGUUCUUGAGGCCGUACAUCUCCAAUCGCCAUGGUGCGUAUCGCGGUCGUUGGAACGUCUUCUUCAUCUACAUCAUCAAGAUCAACAACUUGCUCUCUUGGAGAGCCAUUAGUCUCAUCAAAUACAACGUCGCUAGAGACUUCAACCAAACCCGAUGAUUUGUUGAAGACCCUAUACGCCUUUGUAUUUGAAUCAUAACCUAAUAAAAACCCUUCUACAGCUUUGGGAGCAAAUUUAGAGGUUCUACCUUUCUUCACAAGAAUAUAACACUUGCUCCCAAAUACACGAAAAUAAGAUACAUUGGGUUUGUUACCAGUCAGCAGCUCAUAUGAAGUCUUCUUGAGGAGACGGUGAAGGUAGACCGUGUUGAUGACGUGGCAAGCCGUGUUCACGGCUUCCGACCAAAAGCGCUUGGGGGUCUUGAACUCUCCAAGCAUAGUCCUCACCAUAUCUAUGAGUGUCCUGUUCUUCCUCUCUACCACACCAUUUUGCUGAGGUGUGUAGGGAGCGGAGAACUCGUGCUUGAUCCCCUCCUCAAGGAACUCCUCCACUUGAAGAUUCUUGAAUUCGGACCCAUUGUCGCUUCUUAUCUUCUUCACCUUGAGCUCAAACUCAUUUUGAGCUCUCCUUAGGAAGCGCUUGAGGGUCCCUUGGGUUUCAGACUUAUCCUGCAAAAAGAACGCCCAAGUGAAGCGGGAAAAGUCAUCAACAAUAACUAGACCAUACUUACUUCCUCCUAUGCUCAGAUAGGCGACAGGUCCGAAGAGGUCCAUAUGCAGCAGCUCCAGAGGUCUUGAAGUGGUCAUUACAUUCUUGCUGUGAUGUGCUCCUCCCACUUGUUUACCUGCUUGACAAGCUGCACAAGGUCUAUCUUUUUCGAAAUGUACAUUGGUUAGACCUAUCACAUGUUCUCCCUUUAGAAGCUUGUGGAGGUUCUUCAUCCCCACAUGUGCUAAGCGGUGAUGCCACAACCAGCCCAUGCAAGUCUUAGCCAUUAAGCAUGCAUCUAGACCGGCCUCUUCUUUUGCAAAAUUAACUAAAUAAAGUUUGUCGUCUAGUACACCCUUAAAAGCUAGUGAACCAUCACAUCUUCUAAAGACAGACACAUCUACAUUUGUAAAUAGACAAUUAUAUCCCAUAUUACAUAAUUGACUGACAGAUAGUAAGUUAUAUCCAAGAGACUCAACUAAAAACACAUUAGAGAUAGAGUGCUCAUUAGAUAUUGCAAUCUUGCCUAAACCUUUCACCUUGCCUUGGUUCCUGAAAGGGAAUUAGGCUUACACCUAGUCCCUAAUUAAUUUUGGUGGUUGAAUUGCCCAACACAAAUAUUUGGACUAACUAGUUUGCUCUAGUGUAUAAGUUAUACAGGUGCCAAAGGAUCACACUUAGCAAAUAAAAAGACCAAGUAUUGGGUUCAAACAAAGGAGCAUGGGAUAACCGAAGGCACCUCUGGUCUGGCGCACCGGACUGUCCGGUGCACCAGAGGACUCCAACUCCAAACUCGUCACCUUCGGGAAUUUCCAGAGGCGACUCCGCUAUAAUUCACCGGACUGUCCGGUGUACACCGGACAUGUCCGGUGCUCCAAGGAAGAACGACCUCCAGAACUCGCCAGCCUCGGGAAUUCAGAACGGCUGCUCCGCUAUAAUUCACCGGACUGUCCGGUGUAACAGCGGGGCAACGGCUAUUUCGGCGCCAACGGCUACCUGCGACGCAUUAAAUGCGCGCGCUGCGCGCGCAGAGGUCAGGCACGCCCAUGCCGGCGCACCGGACAAUCUACAGUGCAUGUCCAGUGCGUCACCGGACAUCCAGGCGGGCCCAGAAGACAGAGCUCCAACGGUCGAACCCAACGGCUUUUGGUGACGUGGUUGUCGCACCGGACAUGUCUGGUGUGCACCGGACUGUCCGGUGCGCCAUCGAACAGACAGCCUCACCAAACGGCUAGUUUGGUGGUUGGGGCUAUAAAUACCCCCAACCACCCACCAUUCAUUGCAUCCAAGUUUUCCACUUCUCAACUACUUACAAGAGCUCUAGCAUUCAAUUCUAGACACACCAAAGAGAUCAAAUCCUCUCCAAAUUCCACACAACGCCUUAGUGAUUAGAGAGAGAGAUUUGCUUGUGUUCUUUCGAGCUCUUGCGCUUGGAUUGCUUUCUUCUUUCUUGAUUUCUUCUUGCGAUCAAGCUCACUUGUAAUUGAGGCAAGAGACACCAAUCUUGUGGUGGUCCUUGUGGGAACUUUGUGUUCCAAGUGAUUGAGAAGAGAAAGCUCACUCGGUCCGAGGGACCGUUUGAGAGAGGGUAAGGGUUGAAAGAGACCCGGCCUUUGUGGCCUCCUCAAUGGGGAGUAGGUAUGAGAGAACCGAACCUCGGUAAAACAAAUCUGCGUGUCUCACUUCAUUAUUCGCUUGCGAUUUGUUUUGCACCCUCUCUUUCGCGGACUCUAUUAUAUUUCUAACGCUAACCCGGCUUGUAGUUGUGAUUAUUUUUGAGAAUUUCAGUUUCGCCCUAUUCACCCCCCCUCUAGGCGACUUUCAAUUGGUAUCGGAGCCCGGUGCUUCAUUAGAGCCUAACCGCUCGAAGUGAUGUCGGGAGAUCACGCCAAGAGGGAGAUGGAGACCGGCGACAAGCCCACUACGAGCCACGGGAGUACUUCAUCGGAAGAGUCCCGCACCAAGAGGAAGGAGAAGAAGAAGGACUCAUCCAAAGGGAAGAAGUCUUCUUCACACUCCAAAGGGAAGGAGAAGAAAUCCUCUUCUCACCACAAAGAGAAGAAGGAAAAUUCUUCUUCCCACAAGCCGCAUCGGAGUGGGGACAAGAAGAAGAGGAUGAGGAAGGUGGUCUACUACGAGACCGAUUCUUCAUCAACAUCCACCUCCGGCUCCGACGCGGCGUCCGUCACUUCUAAGCGCCAAGAGCGUAAGAAGUAUAGUAAGAUUCCCCUACGCUACCCUCGCAUUUCUAAACAUACACCUUUACUUUCCGUCCCAUUAGGAAAACCACCAACUUUUGAUGGUGACGAUUACGCUAGGUGGAGUGAUUUAAUGCGAUUUCAUCUAACCUCGCUCCACAAAAGUAUAUGGGAUGUUGUUGAGUUCGGUGCACAGGUACCAUCCGUAGGGGAUGAAAAUUAUGAUGAGGACGAGGUGGCCCAAAUCGAGCACUUCAACUCUCAAGCUACAACCAUACUUCUCGCCUCUUUAAGCAAGGAGGAGUACAACAAAGUGCAAGGGUUGAAGAAUGCAAAGGAGAUUUGGGACUUACUCAAGACCGCGCACGAAGGUGAUGAACUCACCAAGAUCACCAAGCGGGAAACGAUCGAGGGGGAGCUCGGUCGCUUCCGUCUUCGCCAAGGAGAGGAGCCACAAGAUAUGUACAACCGGCUCAAAACCUUGGUGAACCAAGUGCGCAACCUCGGGAGCAAGAAAUGGGAUGAUCACGAGGUGGUUAAGGUUAUUUUAAGAUCGCUUAUUUUCCUUAACCCUACUCAAGUACAAUUAAUUCGUGGCAACCCAAGAUAUACACUAAUGACUCCCGAGGAAGUUAUCGGGAAUUUUGUGAGCUUUGAAUGUAUGAUUAAAGGCUCAAAGAAGAUCAACGAGCUUGACGAACCCUCCACGUCCGAAGCGCAACCGGUGGCAUUUAAGGCGACGGAGGAGAAGAAGGAGGAGUCUACACCGAGUAGACAACCAAUUGACGCCUCCAAGCUCGACAAUGAGGAGAUGGCUUUAAUCAUCAAAAGCUUUCGCCAAAUCCUCAAGCAACGGAAGGGGAAGGAUUACAAAUCCCGUUCCAAGAAGGUUUGCUACAAGUAUGGUAAGCCCGGUCAUUUCAUUGCAAAAUGUCCUAUAUCUAGUGACAGUGACAGGGGCGACGACAAGAAGGGAAAGAGGAGAGAAAAGAAGAAGUACUACAAGAAGAAGGGCGGCGAUGCCCAUGUUUGCCGGGAGUGGGACUCCGACGAGAGCUCCACCGAGUCCUCCUCCGACGAGGACGCCGCCAACAUCGCCGUCACCAAGGGACUCCUCUUCCCCAACGUCGGCCACAAGUACCUCAUGGCCAAGGACGGCAAAAAGAAGAAGGUUAAAUCUAAAUCCUCCACUAAAUAUGAGUCUUCUAGUGAUGAUAAUGCUAGUGAUGAGGAGAAUAACUUGCGUACCCUUUUUGCCAACCUUAACAUAGAACAAAAAGAAAAAUUAAACGAAUUGAUUAGUGCUAUUCAUGAGAAGGAUGAUCUCUUGGACUCUCAAGAGGACUUCCUUAUUAAGGAAAACAAAAAGCAUGUUAAGGUUAAAAAUUCUUAUGCUCUACAAGUUGAAAAAUGUGAAAAAUUGUCUAGUGAGCUAAGCACUUGCCAUGAGACCAUUGACAACCUUAGGAAUGAAAAUGCUAAAUUAAUUGCUAAGGUUGAUUCCCAUGUUUGUAUUGAUUCAAUUUCCAAUCCUAGAGAUGAUAAUGUUGAUUUGCUUGCUAGGAUUGAUGAAUUGAAUAUUUCUCUUAAUAGCCUUAGGAUUGAAAAUGAAAAGUUAAUUGCUAAGGCUAAAGAUUUUGAUGUUUGCAACACUACUAUUUCCGACCUUAGAACUAAGAAUGAUAUGUUGCAUGCUAAGGUUAUAGAAUUAAAAUCUUGCAAACCCUCUACAUCUACCGUUGAGCACACCUCUAUUUGUACUAGAUGUAGAGAUGUUGAUAUCAAUGCUAUUCAUGAUCACAUGGCUUUAAUUAAACAACAAAAUGAUCAUAUAGCAAUAUUAGAUGCUAAAAUUGCCGAGCAUAACUUAGAAAAUGAAAAGUUUAAAUUUGCUAGAAGUAUGCUCUAUAAUGGGAGACGCCCUGGCAUCAAGGAUGGCAUUGGCUUCCAAAGGGGAGACAAUGUCAAACUUAAUGCCCCUCCUAAAAAUUUGUCUAACUUUGUUAAGGGCAAGGCUCCCAUGCCUCAGGAUAACGAGGGUUACAUUUUAUACCCUGUCGGUUAUCCCGAGAGCAAAAUUAGGAGAGUUCAUUCUAGGAAGUCUCACUCUGGCCCUAACUAUGCUUUUUUGUAUAAGGGUGAGACAUCUAGCUCUAGGCAACCAACCCGUGCCAAGUUGCCUAGAAAGAAAACUCCUAAUGCAUCAAAUGAUCAUAGCAUUUCAUUUAAGACUUUUGAUGCAUCUUACGUUUUGACUAACAAAUCCGGCAAGGUAGUUGCCAAGUUUGUUGGGGGCAAACACAAGGGCUCCAAAACUUGCGUUUGGGUACCCAAAGUUCUUGUUUCUAAUGCCAAAGGACCCAAAACCGUUUGGGUACCUAAAGUCAAGAACUAAAAUUGUUUUGUAGGUUUAUGCAUCCGGGGGCUCAAGUUGGAUACUCGACAGCGGGUGCACAAACCACAUGACAGGGGAGAAGAAGAUGUUCUCCUCAUAUGAGAAAAACCAGGAUCCCCAACGAGCUAUCACAUUCGGGGAUGGAAAUCAAGGUUUGGUCAAAGGUUUGGGUAAAAUUGCUAUAUCACCUGACCAUACUAUUUCCAAUGUUUUUCUUGUAGACUCUUUAGAUUACAGUUUGCUUUCUGUAUCUCAAUUAUGUCAAAUGGGCUACAACUGUCUCUUUACUGAUGUAGGUGUCACUGUCUUUAGAAGAAGUGAUGAUUCAAUAGCAUUUAAGCGUGUGUUAGAGGGUCAGCUAUACUUGGUAGAUUUUGAUAGAGCUGAACUCGACACAUGCUUAAUUGCUAAGACUAACAUGGGUUGGCUCUGGCAUCGCCGACUAGCCCACGUUGGGAUGAAGAAUCUUCAUAAGCUUCUAAAGGGAGAGCACAUUUUAGGACUAACAAAUGUUCAUUUUGAGAAAGACAGGAUUUGUAGCGCAUGCCAAGCAGGAAAGCAAGUUGGGUCUCAUCAUCCACACAAGAACAUCAUGACAAGUGACAGGCCACUGGAGCUCCUUCACAUGGAUUUAUUCGGCCCGAUCGCUUACAUAAGCAUCGGCGGGAGUAAGUACUGUCUAGUUAUUGUGGAUGAUUAUUCUCGCUUCACUUGGGUGUUCUUUUUGCAGGAAAAAUCUCAUACCCAAGAGACCUUAAAGGGAUUCUUGAGACGGGCUCAAAAUGAGUUCGGCUUAAGGAUCAAGAAAAUUAGAAGCGACAACGGGACGGAGUUCAAGAACUCACAAAUAGAAGGAUUUUUUGAGGAGGAGGGCAUCAAGCAUGAGUUCUCUUCUCCCUACACCCCACAACAAAAUGGUGUAGUGGAGAGGAAGAAUCGAACUCUAUUGGACAUGACAAGAACCAUGCUUGAUGAGUACAAGACACCGGAUCGGUUUUGGGCCGAAGCGGUCAACACCGCCUGCUACGCCAUCAACCGGUUAUAUCUACACCGAAUCCUCAAGAAGACAUCCUAUGAACUCCUAACCGGUAAAAAGCCAAAUAUUUCAUAUUUUAGAGUUUUUGGUAGCAAAUGUUUUAUUCUUGUCAAAAGAGGAAGAAAAUCUAAAUUUGCUCCUAAAACUGUAGAAGGCUUUUUACUAGGAUAUGACUCAAACACAAGGGCAUAUAGAGUCUUUAACAAGUCCUCAGGACUUGUUGAAGUUUCUUGUGACGUUGUGUUUGAUGAGACUAACGGCUCUCAAGUAGAGCAAGUUGAUCUUGAUGAGAUAGGUGAAGAACAGGCUCCAUGCAUCGCGCUAAGGAACAUGUCCAUUGGGGAUGUGUGUCCUAAGGAAUCCGAAGAGCCUCCAAAUGCACAAGAUCAACCAUCCUCCUCCACUCAAGCAUCUCCACCAACCCAAAAUGAGGACGAGGCUCAAGAUGAAACCUAUGCACCCGUAGCUUGGCUCGAGUCCAUUCGUAUAUUAUUAGCCUAUGCUACUUACCAUGGCUUCAAGCUUUACCAAAUGGACGUGAAGAGUGCCUUCCUCAAUGGACCAAUCAAGGAAGAGGUCUAUGUUGAGCAACCUCCCGGCUUUGAAGACAGUGAGUAUCCUAACCAUGUUUAUAGGCUCUCUAAGGCGCUUUAUGGGCUCAAGCAAGCCCCAAGAGCAUGGUAUGAAUGCCUAAGAGAUUUCCUUAUUGCAAAUGGCUUCAAAGUCGGCAAGGCCGAUCCUACUUUAUUCACUAAAACUCUUGACAAUGAUUUGUUUGUAUGCCAAAUUUAUGUUGAUGAUAUUAUAUUUGGGUCUACUAACGAAUCUACUUGUGAAGAAUUUAGUAGGAUCAUGACACAGAAAUUCGAGAUGUCUAUGAUGGGGGAGUUGAAGUAUUUUCUAGGAUUCCAAGUCAAGCAACUCCAAGAAGGCACCUUCAUUAGCCAAACGAAGUAUACUCAAGACAUUCUAACCAAGUUUGGAAUGAAGGAUGCCAAGCCCAUCAAGACACCCAUGGGAACCAAUGGGCAUCUCGACCUCGACACGGGAGGUAAAUCCGUCGAUCAAAAGGUAUACCGGUCGAUGAUAGGUUCAUUACUCUAUUUAUGUGCAUCUCGACCGGACAUUAUGCUUUCCGUAUGCAUGUGUGCAAGAUUCCAAUCCGACCCUAAGGAAUCUCACCUUACGGCCGUAAAACGAAUCUUGAGAUAUUUGGCUUAUACUCCUAAGUUUGGGCUUUGGUACCCUCGGGGAUCCAUAUUUGAUUUGAUUGGUUAUUCGGAUGCCGAUUGGGCGGGGUGUAAGAUUAAUAGAAAGAGCACAUCGGGGACUUGCCAGUUCUUGGGAAGAUCCUUGGUGUCUUGGGCUUCAAAGAAGCAAAAUUCGGUCGCUCUUUCUACUGCCGAAGACGAGUAUAUUGCCGCAGGUCAUUGUUGUGCGCAAUUGCUUUGGAUGAGGCAAACCCUGUGGGACUAUGGUUACAAAUUAACCAAAGUUCCUCUUCUAUGUGAUAAUGAGAGUGCAAUCCGCAUGGCGGAUAAUCCCGUUGAGCAUAGCCGCACUAAACACAUAGCCAUUCGGUAUCAUUUUCUUAGGGAUCACCAACAAAAGGGGGAUAUCGAGAUUUCAUACAUUAACACUAAAGAUCAAUUAGCUGAUAUCUUUACCAAGCCACUUGAUGAACAAUCUUUUACCAAACUUAGGCAUGAGCUCAAUAUUCUUGAUUCGAGGAAUUUCUUUUGCUAAUUUGCACACAUAGCUUAUAAAUAUACCUUUGAUCAUGUCUCCUUUAUAUAUGCUAUGACUAAUGUGUUUCUCAAGUGUAUUUCAAACCAAGUCAUAGGCAUAUUGAAAGGGAAUUGGAGUCUUCGGCGAAGACAAAGGCUUCCACUCCACUCUACUACUCAUCCUUCGUCGUCGCUCCGCAUCUCUCUCCAUCUUUGGUAUAAUCUUCACUCAUAUGUUUUAUUUGCCAAAGGGGAGAUAGUAGUCAAGCAAAGGGCCUAUAUUUCAUUCCAAGUAUCUGUUUUUGGCGAUUCAUGCCAAAGGGGGAGAAAGUAUUGGCCCAAAGCAAAAGGACCGCACCAACACCCUAAUUUUUAAAAUUAAUGAUUUUCAAUUGGUAAAUUUCAAAUUGGUAUCUCUUUGUGUUCUAAAGGGGGAGCAAGUAGUAUUUUCAAAACUUGAUAUCUCAAAACCCUCUUGAACACUAAGAGGAGAAUUUAUUUGAGGGGGAGUUUUGUUUAGUCAAAGGAAAAGCAUUUGAAACAAGGGGAGAAAAUUUCAAAUCUUGAAAAUGCUUCGCAAAAUCUUAUUCAUUUACCUUUGACUAUGUUGCAAAAGGACUUUGAAAAGGAUUUACAAAAAGAAUUUGCAAAAACAAAACAUGUGGUGCAAGCGUGGUCCAAAAUGUUAAAAAUAAAGAAACAAUCCAUGCACAUCUAGUAAGUAACAUUUAUUGGCUCAAUUCCAAGCAACCUUUGCACUUACAUUAUGCAAACUAGCUCAAUUAUGCACUUUUAUAUUUGCUUUGGUUUGUGUUGGCAUCAAUCACCAAAAAGGGGGAGAUUGAAAGGGAAUUAGUCUUACACCUAGUCCCUAAUUAAUUUUGGUGGUUGAAUUGCCCAACACAAAUAUUUGGACUAACUAGUUUGCUCUAGUGUAUAAGUUAUACAGGUGCCAAAGGAUCACACUUAGCAAAUAAAAAGACCAAGUAUUGGGUUCAAACAAAGGAGCAUGGGACAACCGAAGGAACAUCUUCUCUGGCGCACCGGACUGUCCGGUGUGCCACCGGACAUGUCCGGUGCACCAGAGGACUCCAACUCCAAACUCGUCACCUUCGGGAAUUUCCAGAGGCGACUCCGCUAUAAUUCACCGGACUGUUCGGUGUACACCGGACAUGUCCGGUGCUCCAAGGAAGAACGACCUCCAGAACUCGCCAGCCUCGGGAAUUCAGAACGGCUGCUCCGCUAUAAUUCACCGGACUGUCCGGUGUAACAGCGGGGCAACGGCUAUUUCGGCGCCAACGGCUACCUGCGACGCAUUAAAUGCGCGCGCUGCGCGCGCAGAGGUCAGACACGCCCAUGCUGGCGCACCGGACAAUCUACAGAGCAUGUCCGGUGUGCCACCGGACAUCCAGGCGGGCCCAGAAGACAGAGCUCCAACGGUCGAACCCAACGACUUUUGGUGACGUGGCUGUCGCACCGGACAUGUCCGGUGUGCACCGGACUGUCCGGUGCGCCAUCGAACAGACAGCCUCACCAAACGGCUAGUUUGGUGGUUGGGGCUAUAAAUACCCCCAACCACCCACCAUUCAUUGCAUCCAAGUUUUCCACUUCUCAACUACUUACAAGAGCUCUAGCAUUCAAUUCUAGACACACCAAAGAGAUCAAAUCCUCUCCAAAUUCCACACAACGCCUUAGUGAUUAGAGAGAGAGAUUUGCUUGUGUUCUUUCGAGCUCUUGCGCUUGGAUUGCUUUCUUCUUUCUUGAUUUCUUCUUGCGAUCAAGCUCACUUGUAAUUGAGGCAAGAGACACCAAUCUUGUGGUGGUCCUUGUGGGAACUUUGUGUUCCAAGUGAUUGAGAAGAGAAAGCUCACUCGGUCCGAGGGACCGUUUGAGAGAGGGUAAGGGUUGAAAGAGACCCGGCCUUUGUGGCCUCCUCAACGGGGAGUAUGUUUGAGAGAACCGAACCUCGGUAAAACAAAUCCGCGUGUCUCACUUCAUUAUUCGCUUGCGAUUUGUUUUGCACCCUCUCUUUCGCGGACUCUAUUAUAUUUCUAACGCUAACCCGGCUUGCAGUUGUGAUUAUUUUUGAGAAUUUCAGUUUCGCCCUAUUCACCCCCCCCCCUCUAGGCGACUUUCAGUUCCCAUCACCGAAUAUGAUUGAAUCUUGGGAAUCCUUAUUCUUGACGUAGGAGGUGAACAUCUUCUUUUCCCCCGUCAUAUGGUUCGUGCAUCCGCUGUCGAUAAUCCAGCUUGAACCCCCGGAUGCAUAAACCUGCAAGGCAAAUUUAGGCUUGGGUCUUAGGUACCCAACUCUUGUUGGGUCCUACAAGGUUAGUCACAAUUGUAUUAGGGACCCAAAUGCAAGUUUUAUCACCCUUGCAUUUUGCCCCUAAUUUCCUAGCAACUAUCUUCCUAUCCUUUCUACAAAUAGCAAAGGAAGCAUUUAAAGCAUGAUAAAUUAUAGAGGGUCCAUUCAUAACUUUUCUAGGAACAUGAACAAUAUUCUUUCUAGGCACAUGAUGAAUAUUUUUCCUAGGCAUAUCUCUACCAUGCAUAUAGGAAGAACUGGGAGCAAACAUAGCAUAAGAAUCAUAGCCAUGUGAAUCAAAAGCAUUACAACUCCUAUGAGACUGUCUUCUAUCAUUGUACAUAAACGCAUGGUUCUUUUUAGUACUACUUGCCAUAGGGGCCUUCCCUUUCUCCUUGGCGGAGAUGAGAGCCUUAUGGCUUGUUAAGUUCUUGGCUUCCCUCUUGAAGCCAAGCUCAUCCUUAAUUGAGGGGUGUCUACCAACCGUGUAGGCAUCCCUAGCAAAUUUUAGUUUAUCAAAAUCACUUUUGCUAGCCUUAAGUUGGGCAUUAAGACUAGCCAUUUCAUCAUUUAACUUUGCAAUAGAAGCUAUGUGUUCACUACAAGCAUCAAUAUCAAAAUCUUUACAUCUAUUGCAAAUAACAACAUUUUCUACACAAGUUGUUGAUUUACUAGCUAUUUCUAACUUAGCAUUCAAAUCAUCAUUAAUGCUUCUUAAGCUAGAAAUUGUCUCAUGGCAAGAAGAUAAUUCACAAGAAAGCAUUUCAUUUCUCUUAUCUUCUAAGGCAUGAGAUUUUUGUGCUUCUACAAAUUUGUCAUGUUCUUCAUACAACAAGUCCUCUUGUUUUUCUAAAAGCCUAUUCUUAUCAUUCAAGGCAUCAAUCAAUUAAUUAAUUUUAUCUACCUUGGUUCUAUCUAGGCCCUUAAAUAAACAUGAAUAAUCUAUUUCAUCCUCAUCACUAGAUUCGUCCUCACUUGAAGAAGCAUAAGUAGAGUUUCGAGUACAUACCUUCUUCUCCCUUGCCAUAAGGCAUGUGUGACGCUCGUUGGGGAAGAGGGAUGACUUGUUGAAGGCGGUGGCGGUGAGUCCUUCAUUGUCGGAGUUGGACGAGGAGCAAUCCGAAUCCCACUCCUUGCCAAGAUGUGCCUCGCCCUUUGCCUUCUUAUAGUUCUUCUUCUUCUCCCUCUUGUUCCCUUGAUCCUGAUCACUAUCAUUAUCGGGACAGUUAGCAAUAAAAUGACCAAGCUUACCACAUUUGAAGCAUGAGCGCUUCCCCUUUGUCUUGGUCUUGCUUGGCUGUCCCUUGCGACCCUUAAGCAUCGUCUUGAAGCGCUUGAUGAUGAGGGCCAAUUCUUCAUCAUUUAGCCCUGCCGCCUCAACUUGCGCUACCUUGCUAGGUAACGCCUCCUUGCUCCUUGUUGCCUUGAGAGCAAUGGGUUGAGGCUCAUGGAUUGGACCGUUCAACGUGUCGUCCACGUACCUCUCCUCCUUGAUCAUCAUUCGCCCGCUUACGAAUUUUCCAAGGACUUCUUCGGGCGACAUUUUGGUGUACCUGGGAUUCUCACGAAUAUUAUUCACCAAAUGAGGAUCAAGAACGGUAAAGGACCUUAGCAUCAGUCGGACGACGUCGUGGUCCGUCCAUCGCGUGCUUCCGUAGCUCCUUAUUUUGUUGAUAAGGGUCUUGAGCCGGUUGUAUGUUUGGGUUGGCUCCUCGCCCCUUAUCAUCGCGAAUCGUCCAAGCUCGCCCUCCACCAACUCCAUCUUGGUGAGCAAGGUGACGUCAUUCCCCUCAUGAGAAAUCUUGAGGGUGUCCCAGAUCUGCUUGGCAUUGUCCAAGCCGCUCACUUUAUGGUACUCGUCCCUGCACAAGGAGGCUAACAACAUAGUAGUGGCUUGUGCAUUUCUAUGAAUUUGUUCAUUAAUGAAAAUAGGACUAUCCGAGCUAUCGAACUUCAUUCCACUUUUCACAAUCUCCCAUAUGCUCGGAUGGAGAGAGAACAGGUGACUACGCAUUUUGUGGCUCCAAAAUCCGUAGUCCUCUCCAUCAAAGUGAGGAGGUUUGCCAAGUGGAAUGGAGAGCAAAUGAGUAUUUGUACUUUGCGGAAUACGAGAGUAGUCAAAAGAAAAGUUCGAAUUAACCGGUUUCCUUCUCUCGUAGUCGUUGUGGUCGUCGUCCUUUUGGGAAGAAGAUGACUCGUCGCUGUCGUCGUAGUAGACAAUCUCCUUGAUGUGCCUUGUCUUCUUCUUCUUCCCAUCUUUCCGUCUAUGGCCCGAGCCCGAGUCGGUAAGCUUGUCAUCCUUCGGCUCGUUGACGAAAGAUUCCUUCUCUUUAUCGUUGAUCAUGAUACCCUUCCCCUUAGGAUCCAUCUCUUCGGGCGGUUAGUCCCUUUGUGAAGAGAACGGCUCCGAUACCAAUUGAGAGCACCUAGAGGGGGGUGAAUAGGUGAUCCUGUAAAACUUGAAAACUUAAGCCACAAAAACUUGGUUAAGCGUUAGCACAGUAAAUGCCAAGUGGCUAGAGAGGAGUCUCAACAAAACACAAUAACCACAAGAAAUCAAUCACAGAGAUGGCACGGUGGUUAUCCCGUGGUUCGGCCAAGACCAACGCUUGCCUACUCCACGUUGUGGCGUCCCAACGGACGAGGGUUGCAAUCAACCCCUCUCAAGCGGUCCAAAGACCCACUUGAAUACCACGGUGUUUUGCUUGCUUUUCUCAAUCCCGUUUGCGAGGAAUCUCCACAACUUGGAGCCUCUCGCCCUUACACUUGAAGUUCACAAAGAAGCACAAAGCAAGGGAGGAUUAGCAAUGCACACAAGACACAAGAAUCAGAGUGUCAACAUGCACACAAGUCGCAACAAGAGCUCGCAACAUAACUCAAUGAGUUCACAACUCCACUAGAGCUCUAUAUGCUAUCACAAUGAAACAAAUGCGCGGAAUCGAGGUCUUGGUGCUUAGGAAUGUUGCAGGAAUGCUUGGUGUACUCCUCCAUGCGCCUAGGGGUCCCUUUUAUAGCCCCAAGGCAGCUAGGAGCCGUUGAGAGCAUUCUAGGAAGGCUGAUCUUGCCUUCUGUCGACUGGCGCACCGGACAGUCCGGUGCACACUGGACACUGUCUGUUGCCCGAUUUCCUUCCAAAAAUGGCGCAGUCGACCGUUGGUAGCCUGAGAGCCGUUGGCGCACCGGACAUGUCCGGUGCACACCGGACAGUCCGAUGCCUCCUUCUAGCCGUUGGCUCGGCCACGUGUCCCGCGCAGAUUGCGCGGCCGACCGUUGGCCCGGCCGACCGUUGGCUCACCGGACAGUCCGGUGCACACCGGACAGUCCGGUGAAUUAUAGCCGUACGUCGCCGGUGAAUUCCCAAGAGCGGCCACUUCGCUCGAGCCAGCCUGGCGCACCGGACACUGUCCGGUGCACCACCGGACAGUCCGGUGCUCCCAGACUCAGCAGAGUCUUGGCUGCUCAAGCCAAGACAUUUUCAAUUGGUUUUUUCCUGUUUCCAGCACUUAGACACAAUACAUUAGUCCACAAAACAAUGUACUAAGUCUGAGAAACAUACCUUUAUCCUUGAUUUGUACUUUGUCCACCUUUUUACACUUAGGCACUUGUUGGGCACUAAAUCACCAAAAUACUUAGAAAUGGCCCAAGGGCACAUUUCCCUUUCAAUUAGAAACAAGCACCUUGGGUACCCAAACACAAGUCUUUGACCUCUUGUGUUUGCCCCCAACAUAUUUGGCAACUACUUUGCCUGAUUUGUUAGUGAGCACAUAAGAAUCAUCAAAAGUUUUAAAUGAAAUAUUAGGUUCAUUUGAUGCAAUAGGAGUUUUCUUCUUAGGCAAUUUAUCAUGAGUUGAUCGCCUAGAAUUAGAUGCCUCACUCUUAUACAUGAAAGCGUGAUGAGAGCCAGAGUGAGACUUCCUAGAGUGAAUUCUCCUUAUUUUGUGAUCGGGAUAACCGGCAGGGUAUAAAAUGUAACCCUCGUUAUCCUGAACCAUGGGAGCCUUGCCCUUAACAAAGUUGGACAAUUUCUUAGGGGCAUUGAGUUUGACAUUGCCUCCCUGUUGGAAGCCAAUGCCAUCCUUAAUGCCAGGACGUCUCCCACUAUAGAGCAUGCUUCUAGCAAAUUUAAAAUUUUCAUUUUCUAAGUCAUGCUCAUUAAUUUUGGCACUAAGUUGAGCUAUGUGAUCAUUUUGUUGUUUAAUUAAAGCUAGGUGAUCAUGAAUAGCAUCAACAUUAAUGUCUCUACAUCUAGUGCAGAUAGUAACAUGCUCAACGGUAGAUGUAGAGGGUUUGCAAGUAUCUAAUUCAACAAUCUUAGCCUGUAAAAUAGCAUUCUCAUCUCUAAGUUUGGAAAUAGAAGCAUUGCAAACAUUUAAAUCUUUAGCCUUAGCAAUUAAUUUUGCAUUUUCAUUUCUAAGGCUAGAAAUAGAGUCAUGGCAAGUGCUUAGCUCACUCGUUAAUUUUUCACAUUUUUCUACCUCUAGAGCAUAAGCAUUUUUAGUCUUAACAUGCUUUUUGUUUUCCUUAAUAAGUCCUCUUGGCUAUCCAAGAGUUCAUCCUUCUCAUGAAUAGCACUAAUCAAUUCAUUCAAUUUCUCUUUUUGUUGCAUGUUAAGAUUGGCAAAAAGAGUAAGCAAGUUAUCCUCAUCAUCACUAGAACUAUCCUCAUCACUGGAGGUUGCAUACUUAGUGGAGGAUCUUGAUUUUACCUUCUUCUUCUUGUCGUCCUUUGCCAUAAGGCACUUGUGGCCGACGUUGGGGAAGAGAAGCCCUUUGGUGACGGCGAUGUUUGUGGCGUCCUCGUCGAAGGAGGAGUCGGUGGAGCACUCGUCGGAAUCCCACUCCCGGCAAACAUGAGCAUCGCCGCCCUUCUUCUUGUAAUAUCUCUUCUUUUCCUUCUUCCUUCCCCUCUUGUCAUCACCCCUGUCACUGUCACUAGAAAUAGGACAUUUUGCUAUAAAGUGACCGGGCUUACCACAUUUGUAGCAAACCUUCUUGGAGCGGGGCUUGUAGUCCUUCCCCCUCCUUUGCUUGAGGAUUUGGCGAAAGCUCUUGAUGAUGAGCGUCAUCUCCUCAUUGUCGAGCUUGGAGGCGUCGAUGGGAAUCCUACUUGGUAUAGAAUCCUUGUUUUCUUCUUCCGUCGCCUUGAAUGCGAUGGGUUGCACCUCGGGUGUUGAGGUGGUGCCUUGCUCGAUGAUUUUCUUGGAGCCUUUGAUCAUCAAUUCAAAGUUCACAAAUUUUCCUAUCACUUCCUCGGGAGACAUUAGUUUAUACCUUGAAUCACCACGAAUUAAUUGAACUUGUGUAGGGUUAAGAAAAACGAGUGAUCUAAGAAUAACCUUGACCAUCUCAUGGUCAUCCCAUUUGGUGCUCCCGAGGUUGCGCACUUGGUUCACCAAGGUCUUGAGCCGGUUGUACAUCGCUUGUGGCUCCUCCCCUUGGUGAAGCAUGAAUCGACCGAGCUCCCCCUCGAUCGUCUCCGUCUUGGUGAUCUUGGUCACCUCGUCUCCUUUGUGCGCAGUCUUGAGCACGUCCCAAAUCUCCUUUGCACUCUUCAACCCUUGCACCUUAUUGUACUCCUCUCGACUUAGAGAGGCGAGGAGUAUAGUAGUGGCUUGGGAGUUGAAGUGUUGGAUUUGUUCGACCUCCUCCGAAUCAUAAUUCGUGUCCCCUUCCUUUGGUACCUGCGCUCCAUACUCAACAAUAUCUCAUAUGCUUUUGUGGAGUGAGGUUAGGUGAUGCCUCAUUUUAUCACUCCACAUAGAAUAAUCUUCACCAUCAAACAUAGGUGGUUUGCCUAAUGGGACGAAAAGUAAUGGAGUGCAUUUUGAAAUACGAGGAUAGCAAAGGGACAUCUUACUAUACUUCUUGCGCUCAUGGCGCUUAGAAGUGGCGGAUGCCGAUUUCAAUCUGGAGGUGGAGGAUGACGAAGAGUCAGUCUCGUAGUAGACCACCUUCUUCAUUUUCUUCUUCUUGUCACCCUUCCGUUGGGACUUGAUGGAGGAAGAGGAUUCCUCCUUGUGCUUGUGGGCGGACUCCCUUGAGUGUGUUCUCCUCGAUCUUGCGGACUUGUCGCCGGUCUCGAUGUCCCUCAUGGCGGAUGCUCCCGACAUUACUUCGAGCGGUUAGGCUCUAAUGAAGUGCCGAGCUCUGAUAUCAAUUGAAAGUCGCCUAGAGGGGGGUGAAUAGGCAAGUCUGAAAUUUAUGAAGUUUAAGCACAACUACAAACUGAGGUUAGCGUUAGAAAUAUAAACGAGUCCGAAAGAGAGGGCGAAAACAAAUCACAAGCGAAUAAGAGCGGAUGACAUGGUGAUUUGUUUUACCGAGGUUCGGUUCUUGCAAACCUACUCCCCGUUGAGGUGGUCACAAAGACCGGGUCUCUUUCAACCCUUUUCCUCUCUCAAACGGUCACUUAGACCGAGUGAGCCUUUCUCUUCAAUCAAAUGGGACACUAAGUCCACUACAAGGACCACCACAACUUGGUGUCUCUUGUUUUGAUUACAAGUGAGUUGAACACAAGAAAGAAGAAAGAAGAAAAACAAUACAAGCGCAAGAGCUCAAAUGAACACAAAUGUCUCUCUCUCUAGUCACUAAUUUGGUUGGAGUGAUUCCGGACAUGGGAGAGGAUUUGAUCUCUUUGAUUGUGUCUUUGAAUGAAGUCUAGAGCUCUUGUAUGUGGUUUGAUGGCUGAAAACUUGGAUGCCAUGAAUGAUGGGUGGUUGGAGGUAUUUAUAGCCCCAACCACCAAAGUGACCGUUGGUGAGGGCUUGUGUCGCAUGGCGCACCGGACAGUCCGGUGCGCCACCGGACACUGUCCGGUAUGCCAGCCACGUCACCCGGCCAUUGGGUUCUGACUGUUGGAGCUUCUGACAGGUGGGCCACCGGACAGUUCGGUGGUACACCGGACAAUCACUAUUCACUGUCCGGUGCGCCUUCUGGCGCUGCUCUGACUUCUGCGCACGCAGGCGCGCACUGUUCACUUUUAUUGUUUCGUUGCAGACGACCGUUGGCGCUGUGUAGCCGUUACUCCGGUGCUACACCGAACAGUCCAGUGAAUUAUAGAGGAGCGGCUCCCAGAAUUCCCGAAGGUGGCAAGUUCGGAGUUGGGUUCCCUGGUGCGUCGGAUACUGUCCGGUGGCACACCGGACAGUCCGGUGCGCCAGACCAGGGCAGCCUUCGGGUGUCUUUUGCUCUCUUUAUUUGAACCCUUUUCUUGGUAUUUUUAUUGGUUUGUUGUGAACCUUUGGCACCUGUAAAACUUAUAAUCUAGAGCAAACUAGUUAGUACAAUUAUUUGUGUUGGGUAAUUCAACCACCAAAAUUCAUAUAGGAAAAGGUGUAAGCCUAUUUCUCUUUCACUCUUCCCAUUAUACUAUUUCAGCACUUGUACUCCGCUAAGAAAUUCUCUCAAAUAUUAUAAAUAUUUUUUAUCAGAGACUAGGCAUUGGAGGAACUACGGAGAGGAUCAUAUGUGCAUUGCACACUAUUCUUAGUGAACAAGCAGAUGAGGAUGAUGACCUGGAAAAAAAUGCAAGACUACUAUGUGUCAUGUUGGAAAGAUGGAGAAGGACGUUGACAGUGCCUGUAGCAAAGGUAAUGUUUGUUGUCGGUCUGUCCGAAGUCCUGCAUUUUUGCUACUUAGUAGACGUUCUAAUGAUGUCCCUUGUAUGCAGCCGAAUAUCCUCGUUGCGAGGUUCUUUGCACAAAACUAAAAGGCGAAGAAACUAACAUUUUUCUUUUUUGUUCCUUGUGAUAUAGGGCCGGAAAGAUUGCAAGGGAUUUGAUGAGUUAUAUGCAAAAAAAAUAGAUGGUGCCCUUGAUCUGCCGUCUCAGGUAUGCAUGUUUUGCUACUCCUGUUACUACGAUUGAGCUCUUGUUAGUUGUUGUUAUUGGAUAACUUUUUCUGUAAUAUUUGCAUCCAUUUAUGACUACAACUUUUUUGUAUUAUUUUUUUGCCAUUUAUAACUACAACUAAUGCUUGUUCGUAAAUAGUUUGAUUUGAUUAGCCCAUGUCAGCAAUAAGAAUAUCCCAAAAAGCGAUAGAAAUCUGAGGUGUUUAAUUUUUAAGGGCUCGUUUGGCAACCUCAUUUACCCAAGAGAUUUUCAUUUUUCCAAUAUAAAUUAGUUUAUUUUUCCAUGAGGAAAUAGAAAUCCUUUGGGAAAACGGGUUUGACGGGUUCCCAAAGUAGCCCUAAGAAGGUGCUCGAUUCAUCGAGUAGCUCGGGUCCUGUGUAAUUGUAUCGGGUCCCCUUGAGCUGAUUUUGACCAGGGGAUGAAACAAAAAUGGAUAGCUCACUUAUUUUUUUGGGGGAAUUUCUACUUCUGGUAUAAAUACACCAGCAUCCUGUGUUGUUUGUUUACACAGCACCACACAUACUACUACCAGCUUUGUUUUCUGAUUGCCGUUUUUACUCUAUUUACACAAAAGGUCCCAUUUACUACCACUCUUACAUUUAGUACAAUGGGCCAGUCUGUAAUUUGUAGCUUUGUGCUUUUUGCCAUGGAUGGUGAACCACUGCCAUAAUUAUUGGGGCCUGCUUUAUUGAUGUGUACUAAAAAUCCAUACAAAUACACUUCACAUACAUCAUACUAGCCCGUAAUAUUUCUUUAUAUGAAUAGUCUGGGAAAGUCUUAACAAUAUUAAUGCAGCAGAACUGUAAAUUCAUAGUGCUCUGAAGAUGUAUGUACUACUGAAGAGUAUGACCUCAAACUGUACCAUGGCAUGGAAAUAAUAUCUUCUCAUUGUGAUCUCAUAUUCCCGAUAAGCUUUACUUUGGCACUUUGUCAGUUUAUAUAUCUUUAGAGCAUCUCCAAGAGCUCUCUAAAAAAUAACUCCUCAAAAUCAGUUUUAAGAAGCAUCUAAAAAAUUAGUGGGGUAGAUUUUAAUCUUUUUUUCCAACAAAUCUCUUAAAACGACAGAUUGUUUCUAGAGAGAGAAAAACUCUCAUUUAUAACUACAAAUAAAGGAGUUUUAAAGGCUAUGAAAAAGUUAUGAGCGUUUUAGGGACUGUUGGAGACAUGUUUUUGUGUUUUCCAAAAAAACUUGAUUUAGAAAAGACUUAUAAGAAGCUUUUGGAGAUGCUCUUAGAUCCCUCAGGAACCAUCAUUAUAUUUGUUUUCAUGCUAUAGAGUCAGACAAAGCAGAGCAAUCUCAAGAACAGAAGAAUAAGAAUGAUGCCAUCGCGAAUAUGGAGAAAGCCACUCAGGAGAAGUCAAAAGCUAUUACAUCUAUGGAGCACGAUUGCUUUCCUCUAGGUAUGCAAUUUAAAAAGCUAACCGUGAUAGUGAUGACGGGAAGGACGAGAGGAUUUGUUGUGUUGUAGCAACACAUUGACAUUGUACUCUGUAUUACUCCUUGGAUUUUAUAUUUCUACCAUCUAAGGGCUAGUUUGGGAACCCUAAUUUCCCAAGGGAUUUCUAUUUUCCCAAGGGAAAUUAGUUCAUUUUCCCAUAAGAAAAUAGAAAUCUCAUGGGAAAUUGAGGUUCCCAAACUAGCCCUAAAACACAUUUCCCUGUCUGGGAGAAGAAUCUUGCUCCAUGUGGUCGGGAUACUGAGUGAACUCAAUCCUCUAAACCGCUGACCAUAAAAAUACACCUGGAACGUGCCUAAAAAAGGUAGAAGCAUUUCUACAUUGAACAGCUGAGAAAUAGAAGAUUAUAUCAGCACUAAGAGGAUUGCCACAACAAAGUUUAUCAUCAAACAGAGUUACAAAGCAAUGUAUAAAGUAGCCAGCAAAUUCAUGGCGAGGAGUACCAUCCAUUUCCACACUCAAAAGAUGCAACACAUCCAAGGAGAAAAAGAUGAUCCAGACAAUGAGAACUCAAGAGUUCACCCUAGAACAACUUAAAACACGCAAGGCACAACUCCUGCUCAAGUUCAAGACUCAUGAUCCUUUCUACUCAAUCAGAUCAUCAUCGUCAUCAGGAAGAGGUUGUGCAGCUGCUGCAGCAAGCUCAGCUUCAUGCCUGAGCAAAUGAAAAGUGAAUCAGUUCCCGCAAUAUUUCAAAUUGAGGAGACACAUUAAAAGGAUAGUAGGACCAUAAUGAUUAUAAGUUGGAUGAAGACAAAAGGUGACACUCACUGCUGCUGCAUAGCCAUGUCGAUGGUAACUUCCGGAGGCUUAAGAGCAACAGCUUCA